UUUUUUUUUGUUAUUCAAACAAAAUUAUUGUCGUAUGUUACAUUCUACUCCCUUUGUCUCGUAUUAAUUGUCGUUGAAACAAAUAUAUCAGUGACAUUUAAUAUGAAAUACAGAAUCAAUAUGACUGCAUGCCUAUGUACACACAUAUAUUUAUCCCUAUAAAUACACACUUUCAUAUCUUAUUUGUGAGCAUCUCCGAGAUACUAAACCGGCACAACAUCUUAAGAUGAUGAAGUCGUUAUAGACGCCUUUAUACUUGAUGGGAGCGUCUCUUUUCAUUUAAUGAACAUCUUCGAAAAGUUUAAAAUAUAUCUAGAAAAAUACGAGCAUGAUGCUAAGUUUAGCACUUGAACAAGGAACGUAAUCACUUGAGAUACGGCUAGUUGGCGAUUUUUACAUUCUACUAUAUACUAGUUGUGGCAUUGUCCAGCUUUCACUUUAUAUUGUUAUUGUUUUCAAACUAAAAAUCUAUAUCCAUCUGCUAGGAGCAAGUGUUGGUUAUGUAUUCAUGAGGUGUUAGGUAGAAUAUACAAUUGCAUUGAAUUCUUUGAAACUGAAUCGUUGUCGAAUUUGCACAGCUUAGAGAAAACUAUAGCCGCCUCUCGAAUCGCUCUUGGGCAACUGCGAAGGCACCAUUGCCCCCUAAAAAAGUUCCUGCACGGCCACCAAACCCUACCGUUGUCGCUAGAGAAGGUCGGUCCAUAGGAGGCAACGACGGUGGGGUGUGCCCACCAGACACACAUACUCUUUGUCUCUACCCCUCCCUCUUUCUCUGGCCAUCCUCGACCCUAGCCAUUCACAGCUCACUUGUCACAAACACAUUCCUCCCAUUGUGUGACCGGUGCUUGACGUUUGCCAGAUGCGUGCGCCCACUUUCCACCAUAUCCGCGUACACUCGGUGACCAUCGCGACUCGGGACUGCUAACACGGUAGUGGUCUGGCAACUGCUGCCUAGCCAUCUUGACCUUCCAUCGAACUGCGGUGACAUGGUUGUUAGGGGGCGCCCCUCAAAAUCUGUGCAUGCACCUUACUGGUGCUAAGGUGUCGUCUGCAUGCAUGAGAGCAUGGUUAAUAGUAUAGCCAAUAACCGACUAUAUAAAGUUGUCACGUCAUCUAUAGUAAACCUAAUAUUCAACAUAUACAAUAGCUAGUUACAAAGAAGUACUACUUUAUUAACUAGAUGAUGCCCCGCACGUUGCUGCGGGAACUCUUUGUCCUACCUACGUGAUAAUACAUAACUUGAAUAACUUUGUGUGCAUAAUGGAUAUAUGAUACUUUUUGUGUGUAUUAUGUGAAUCUUGUUGUAAAUCAAUCUUCUGCAUUUUAGUACAUAGGUGCCAAAUAUAGCCAAGUAGUUGUUACAUAAGUUCAUACCGGCAAGUGUAAUAACAAAUACUGGUAUUUGCACGUAAACAUAAUAUGAGAUAACAGAUAGUGGAAAUGAAGGUCGAGAGAAAUUGACAGUACCGGGUCGUUGUCUUUGUUAAACAAAGAAAAUCUACGAUAGCUUAUAUAGCUGAUCAUUAGUGAGAACUGCUACUUCCUCUUUUGAAAUGAAAAAGGGGUUGUUCUGAGGCAAAGCUAAUGCAAAUAGUAGUGGCUGACAUUUAGUAGGAAGGAAUGAUAGUGUCCUCAGGCUUCAUCUUGCAAAUGAUAGUAGAGAAAGCUAGACAAAAAAUAUUAGAAUGAGCUAUAAUUAAUCAGAGGACUAUGCAAGCUAUACAUCAAAUAGAUGGAAUACCGUGAUUGGACACAAAUCAGUAACAUUGUGAGUGUAGAUAGCGAAGAUAGCACUUCACAACGGAGAGAUCCAAUUGAUAUUGCAAAUGACGAAGAUAGAAGAAGGAGCCUGCAAGAAACAAUGAUUGUAAGUGCCAGCAACAUAUUUGUCACCUGCUACUUGAGCAGGAAAAGGGUGAUACAUAGAUGGAGAGAGGAAAAUGGAAUUUUCAAGCAUUAAGGCAAUCAGAAAGUGUACUACCGAAAAUUAAAAUGUAUAGUGGAAAUAACACCUCCUGAUCUAUCAAAUGCUUAAUUGAAAAACUAAUGGCACUACUGGUUUUGAUUCAGGGCUUCAAAACCUGUGUGGAACCAUUUACUAAGCAGCAUGUGUACUAAUUUAGAUAGCACAAUUUGACAAAUAUCCAAAAGAGCAAACUGUCUAGAUGGAGUGUUUGUUUCUGCUAUGCAACAUCAAGUACGAUGAAGAAAAAAAGGUUAUCUACCAAGGUUAGUACCUUUCUUUCCUUGGUUCCCAAGGGUGGUAUAUAUCUCCUAGAACAAACAAAGAUAAUUCAUUGUUUUACCUGAAAAGUGAUAAAGGCCAUCUGUAAAGGUAGAAUCUGGAAAAUUAUCUCCCAAGACAGGAAGAAAAUGAAUACGCGAGGAAUCAUUAUCUAACAAAUAGUCCUUUGCAUGGCAAUGUUUGCGCGUUCUUUCUUCAGUAGGGAAUCGCUGGAACAAAAAUAUUUAUUAAUAAGGACAUUCAUGCGUCUAUGUGCCUAAGAAAUAACAAUGUGCAAACCAUGAAGGAUAACCUCACAAUAAAUUAGUAAAAUAGUAGGGUAGAGUUAUGAUUUAUGAAUGGAGCCUUGGAUGAAUUUGUACAUCUCAAUAUCAAUCAGAUGGCGUGAGGAAGCUACUACAUACAUAAUGGCACUACUAUGAGCGAAAAUAUACAUGCAGGAUGCAAAAUAAACAGCCAAUUCUUUUUUUCCUGUUACCGGGGGCAUACGCGGGUAAAUUAUGUGAACUUUAGGGGCAAAUUCCGUGACAUACGACCAGAAACCCAGUUUUCUUUAUUAUUAGGUAAAGAUAAAGAUAUAUUGUUAUGUUGAGAUACUUGGCGAUUAAGGUAAGAGAUAUCGGUUCAUGGGCGAGGUCAUCGGCACCAUCGAAGGAAAGGAGAUGCGCGCCAGUGGAUGGUGAUGUAGGUUCCCUGCUCCAUGGGGCGGGUGGAGUACAGCUGAGGGCCCGUCUCCGCUAGAUUCCGGCCAGAGCAGUGGAUCGGCGGCGACGGUGCGCAACGCCAUGGGUCGCUGUUCAAGGAGGGGCCGCAAAUCCGCCUGGGCAAAGUUUCAGCGUACCUGCAUGUGAAGACGAUGGUGCUAACGUGCAGGUUCUUCAGGUUCUAGCUUGUGGAGGGCCACCCCGUCAAAUAUGGAACCAUGGACAUCUCUCUACGCACGCCCUCAACGUCCGCGUCUCCAGAUUGCUUGAUUGUGAAGAGUUAAGAUACUCAGCCAGUCAGCCGUAGAAGAUAAAGAGAUUCAUGGAAAAUCGAUUAACCUGCAAUGACAUUAGAUCAGAUGAGUAGUUCCGGGGCAUCAUAGCAGGAGAGAGAGAGAGAGAGAGAGGUGGGAUUGGGAAUCACACCGGGUAAUACGCCGAAUCUUUUGGACACCAUCUUGGGGUUGAAAUAUGGACUUUUGCACAAAAGUAUAUGCAUUUUUUUGUCUCUGUUCUUGUUUUAGUUCUGUUUAUGGUUUAGUUUACUGAAAAACAGGUAGAGUUUGCACAACUGGAGUUUGUUCCCACCGUUGGAUGCUAAUCCGAUCGAAAAGGAAAGAAAGUGACUGAACCGGCUAAAUAUUUCAGUCGUGUGACCGGAAUGUUGUCGCUCCCGUUGCUACUAGCGACUCUCCUCGCGCCGCACCUCUCUGUUCAGGAUGAAGAUCGCCUCACCGCGAUUCUCGUUAUGCAGCGCGCCACAGGUCGAGCCCUCACCCAAAGCUUCGUCAUGGCAACCCUCUCUUGUUCCCUGAUGAUUAUGCGUCACUUACUCCGUCUCCACGAAGGCGGCAAGACGGGGUGUACGCUGGUGCCCGUGAGGGUCCUCGGGCGUGAGCCGUGAGCGAGCCACCUUCCCCCGCCAGUCAGGUCAGCGUGAUGUGCCGUCUCUGGUCUCCUAAGACGGCUGCCACUAAUUUUCAAUGCUCACGUGGGUUCUCUCUUCUUGUUACAUACUCCCUCCGUUCUGAAUUACUUGUCUUGGAUUUGCCUAGAUACGGAUGUAUCUAGACUCAUUUUAGUGCUAGAUACCUCUGUAUCUAGACAAAUCUAAGACAAGUAAUUCGGAACAAAGGGAGUAGUACUGUACGUCUAGAAGCUGGCAGUUGCUGCCUGAUUUGGUUAGCACAUAUCCUGCUUAGCUCGCAAUUCUGCCGCAACAAGCCUUCCUGAAAAGAGAAGAGCAUGGUCAAGGAAAGCUGCCGAGCAAAGCAAAUGACUCCCAAGUCACCAUCAUUUUUCCAUGGCUCAUGAAAAGAACGGCUGAGCUGCCCUUCCUGGACAUUCUUUCACAGGCUGGGAGGCUGGAGGUGGAGUGGUUCACAACGCAACCGGUGAUAGAUAAGUUUCAGCACGUGUCCCUUUCCUGUUGGCAAUACAAAGUCACUCUCUGCAACGUCCGGAUAUUGACGUCCAGGACCGCAAGCACCAGCAGUCUGCAAUUUCACCAGCCUCCUACCCCCUGCUCUGUUGGGUUCUUUGUUAGUUAGCACUCUUCUCUUGCAGGAACUCAAGAUGGAGCUAGCAAUAUCUGCAGUAACAGGUGAGCUCGUGAGCCGAUUCGUCUCCUACCUCGCUGACAAGUACCGCUCGAGCCGCCGUGCAGAGUCAGGAGAGACACAGUUGAGGAGGCUGCAGCAACUCCUCCCCAGAGCCCGCUCCGUCGUUGAGGAGGCAGAUGGGCGGUACAUCACCAACUCCGGGAUGCUGGCGCAGCUCAACAUGCUCACGGACGCCAUGUACCGAGGCUACUGGGCGCUAGGGGCCUUUGGGUACAUGUCCCUUGAAGAGACAGAGACUAGUCCCAUGGAGGUUAGCAGCUCAUCUCCCCGCAAACGUCUCCGCACGGUUCAUGGCAGUGCUAGGAAGAACAAGGCCAUGUACCUUGCCGACCUUCAAGGUGUGGUGGAGAGCUUGGAGGAUGUCGUUGCUGGCUUGACGGAGUUUGUUGUUCUUUUGAGUGGAUGCGACCGUAUGCUGCGUCGACCAUAUGAUGCGUAUCUUUACAAUGACACCAUCAUGUUCGGACGCCACACCGAGAAGCAAAAGCUCCUGAACUUCAUGUUGCAGCACAGUUCAAGCUCGCCUGGUGGAACGCCGGCUGUUCUCCCGAUCAUCGGUGCUCCCGCGGUCGGGAAGAGGACUCUGGUGGCCCAUGUAUGCAAGGACGAGAGGGUCAGCUCACAUUUCUCCUCGAUUCUGCACCUGAAUGGAGACUCCUUCCGCAGAAUCGCAGACCAUGACCGGAGCUUCUUGCGAGGGAAGAUAGUGGUCGUUCUUGAGCUUGUCGCAGACGUCGACGAGAAGGAUUGGGCCGAGUUCUGCUCAACCUUGGCAAGCAUGGAUAGUGGAAGCAAGGUGAUCAUCAUCAGCCGGCUUAGAAGUACAGAGCGAUUCGGGACAGUGCGGCCGAUCUUCCUUAACACCCUGUCAUACGAGGAGUUCAGCUACCUCUUCAAGACACUCGCAUUCGGGAGCGCGAACCCGGCGCAUCACCCGCAGCUGGCACGGAUUGCAGAUGAAUUGGCCGAGGAGUUCCGCACGGAAUGUUCGCUCGUCGGCACAAACAUAUUCGCGGAUGUGAUGAGGAGGAAUCUGAACGUCCAUUUCUGGCUCGGCAUGCUGAGCAGGCUGAGAAGAUUUGCUGAGAGGAACGUCUCCAUGUUUGGGGAACACCCGAGGUUGCUCGUCGAGAGACGCCAUCAGAUAGAUGUUACGGACUUCGUCUUGCAUCCUGCUGCUUCUCCGCUCCGCAUCGUGCCUUCCUGCACCAGUGGCAGCAGCCGCACUGAGGUUACAGCGGAGAGGGCAUCGCUGCCGAGGGUGAGGCUUGGAGAUCUUGUGAUGGAUCCUGGAGUUCGGCCGCAAGGGGAUUUCAAUGUGGUUUCCUGGGAAUCAAGGUUGCCUCCUUACACUUCAUUUGUACAUUUUGUUCCAAAUGGAAAUUGUGCUCCAGGUUUGGCGAAACAGAGUACUCCCCUGUCUGGGAGGAAGCGUCCAGCAGUUGCUUUGUAAGGCCUUCUGAUUAGAAUGAUUUUUACUGGGAUUCUGUAGAGUUGAAAUCUCUAGUACUCCCCCAGUUCAUGAUUAAAUAGAACUUAGAUAUUGACACAGUCUCCCAUAUGUAUCUUUAACCUCUGUCUUCAAGCUUGGAAUUUAUAUUAUGAAGAAAACAUGACAAAUUAAUUUUGUACAUAUCUGUAGUCAAAGUUAGAAAAUGUUGAAUACAGGCCUUUCUUGGAAGUCAUGCAUUUAUGAAAAGUAUUUUGUGUGUGUAAGAUGUUUGAUUUGUGGCUGGGACUGUCAGUUUUAUCCAAAGAACCCUUUGUAACAUUUCUCAUACAAAGUUUUGCAUGAACUUAAANNNNNNNNNNNNNNNNNNNNNNNNNNNNNNNNNNNNNNNNNNNNNNNNNNNNNNNNNNNNNNNNNNNNNNNNNNNNNNNNNNNNNNNNNNNNNNNNNNNNNNNNNNNNNNNNNNNNNNNNNNNNNNNNNNNNNNNNNNNNNNNNNNNNNNNNNNNNNNNNNNNNNNNNNNNNNNNNNNNNNNNNNNNNNNNNNNNNNNNNNNNNNNNNNNNNNNNNNNNNNNNNNNNNNNNNNNNNNNNNNNNNNNNNNNNNNNNNNNNNNNNNNNNNNNNNNNNNNNNNNNNNNNNNNNNNNNNNNNNNNNNNNNNNNNNNNNNNNNNNNNNNNNNNNNNNNNNNNNNNNNNNNNNNNNNNNNNNNNNNNNNNNNNNNNNNNNNNNNNNNNNNNNNNNNNNNNNNNNNNNNNNNNNNNNNNNNNNNNNNNNNNNNNNNNNNNNNNNNNNNNNNUAAAAACCGUCAUGUAUCGAGGGCCUCAAGAAGAAGUGAAACAAAUAUGAAUCUCGAGGCUUGCAUUGCGGCAUCGCUCCACAUGUGUUUGGGCCACAAAUUUGAGGGUACCGCAGUGGGGGGGCCAGGGGGGACGAGCAGGGCCUGCCCCCCACCCAACGAUCGACAGUUUUAUUAGGAGCGACGAGUAAUUACCAACGAUAUUAGAUCAAUGUACGUACUUGGCCCCCUGGCCGCCCAGACGGAAGUAAAGAUCUGAAGCAAAAAGGCCAUAGAAAAGCCCACACAGCCUUUUUUGAUCUAGUACUAGCCCAUGACGCUACCCUAAAACAAAAAGGUUAGCCCCCCAGCGUGAUUAACGUGUGACUGGAGAGGCUGCCGGCCGCCGCCGCUGCUUCUUGCCUCCCUGUUCGUGAUCAGAUGUGGUCAGAUUAUAUUUGGCGACACCGGCUCCUGCGUUGGGCAAUCCUACAGACUACACUCCAGUUCUCCAAUAGUCAAUCCAGUCAAGGAUUAGCAGUAGUGAGUAUUUCUCCAAUUGUACAUCCUUUUAGUUAUUUUGAUUGAUUGUUUAAUUUACUAUGCUAAUUGGUUCUUUUUAUUUUUUUUGAUUGCGUAAUCUGGAAAACGGAAAUGAAUAGAAAAGCGAUGCCAAACAACACCAUAAGGAUUAAUUCGAUUUUUAGGCAUAUAUUGUUUCACUUUCUCUACCUACUGAUAAUGUUAAUGAUGCUAAAGUGCAAGUUAUCAAUCCAGUCCAAUGGGAGAUGACUUGCUUCAGAAUUGCAAGAUAAUCUGCACUGAAAGAGAAUUACCCAUCAACUAAGUUAUGAUCUGCAAAAUUAUAUAUAUUUUUUCGAUCGUCCUGGAAAUAGUCAGGGUAAAUUAAGCUAAUAAAACUGUAACUAUGUUCUAGUUACGCCAAAGCGACACAUUUUUUUGGUCGCACGGGGCAUUUUUUUUUUUAAAGUUGGCUUGGCCCCCCUAUACUCGAAUCUUGGCUCCGGCCCUGAGGGUACCUACCAACAGCUGAGCUACCCAUUACUUCGCUUGGCGUCCUCAGAGAUAAUCAGCACCCCCUCAAAAAAAAAUUCAAUCAGCACAGGCUACCAGUACUAGCGGAACUCCUCUCGAUCGUGCAUUGACUAGGCAGGUCCUGAGAUCAAAUCAGUAGUCCUCAAACCUUCACUCGUUGAUGAAGGGGAGAGGUUGAUGCCACGAGUAAACACUAAGAUCCACUUAUUCGGAUUCACCUGUGGGCACACCGUUGCAUGCCUGUGUGUCACCAGGAUCAAUGGUGACACGCUUGAACAACAUUGGCCCCUGUUGCUACCUAGCAAGUGUGGGUACGGGACAAGUCUAAUGGAGGGGAGGGCAACGACGAAGGAUUUGCGUGGGUCAUAUAAAUAUUAUUCCCUGGGCUUUUAUCCAUUUUGAUGACAAGUAUUUUUGGACGGACGGGGUAAUAUUUUUUAGGCAAUCAAUAACGCAAUAGCUGAUUGAUUAAAGUCCAAAGUCUUGAGUGGUUGAGCCAUAUAUCUCUAUAUAUGUCUCUGGUCAAGGGUCGAUGGUUCGUCUACAAACUAUACUAGCUAGCUUCUCUCCAUUGUAAACCGAAACCAUGUGGAACCAUAUAUAAAGCCUGUUCGGUAGCUCUCCAGACCGUCAACUCCGCUCCGCGCGAGGAGUUGGGUUCGAGCCACUCCGCCUGAUUGCGCUGGCGCUCCCUCCGCUCCCGGAGCUGCAGUUGGGGAGCGGAGGGGAUCCGAACAGGGCCAUAGAGUGUUAAUGUAAGGAUAUGUAUAGAGAACUCGAAACUGUACGCUUGAUUGAGAGAUCGGUGGUGAUAACGUUAAGUGGCGCCAGACCAUAAGGGUGAUUCACCAGCAAUAGGAAUAGGAUGCACGGGGAAUUCGAGUUGAAGACAAACUACAAAUGUACACGGUACACGCAACAAAUGGCUAAUUUUUUUAAAAUAAUAUAAAAAAAUUCAUUAAUUCGAAGAAUAAUAUACGGAUUUGAUUUUUUUCAAAAAUAAGCUUCCCUGUAGCCGAUUGGAUUCAAUCGGCUUUCUGUAAGCCGAUUAUGUUAAAUUGUGAUCCAAAUUCUAGUAUCAUAUUGGACUAGACGUAGUACAUACGGUGUGGGCCUUUUGCGUUGGUACCGACGCGUACGAGUACAACUCGUUUACUUGUCCUACAAGGACUUCUAUGUGUUGCCCUUCAUAUAUACCCCAUGUAGUCGCACUCUCCUCGUAGUGAUCGCGCCUUCGUGCGUCCGUGGUUUUCUCCCGUAAGGGUUUCCACGUAAAAAUCUGUGUGAUCUCGUGUCUUUUUUAUCUCGUUAUUAUCUAACAAGUGGUAUACAGAGCUGAUGUUACAGAUACGAGAUUUAAGAUCAGGAGAUUAGGGUUGCGGCGUCCUUUGCGCCGCGGCCGACGCGACCUGGCGAUUCGAAACCAGAUCGAUCAAGUCGCCGAGUUCGACAGGAACCGAGUCGAUCUACUACUGGGUGAAGUCGCGCGUUGUCUGGCCGUGUCCGAGAUCGAAAAGUUUUUCCCCUGCAGCCAACUCCAGCAAUCUACACGCGAAUUUUGGCAGAGCCGUCGUCACAUCACGGGUCAUCAAAUUCCCGUGUUCCUGGUCGCUGCAACUCCCGAGGAGUUCCUUCACGUGAAGCUAAGUUCAGAUUCGCUUUAUUUGUUUCAUCACAGAUCAAGAAGUAGUACUUUGAUCAGCCAGCUACUAGUACUAGUAUUUGUCACAUCAAGCUACAGUUUUUUUUGGUCUCCCACUUCCACGUAUACACGAAGCUGCCAGGUGCUAUUGUUCCUUGCUCAGUUUGAUCUGCAUAUUAAAUUCUGUCAAGAAUUUUUCUAUCGCCUUGUACUGCUUUGUGCACAGCUUUUAUCUACUCAUAGCAUCCAUGAAGUACGAUUUUCCGCUGCUGGACCGUGGCACAAGGUUUACCUUAUGGCAAGUCAAGAUGCGGGCGUUGUUGGCACAGUCCGACUAUGAUGUAGCACUGGAUAGUUUUGGGAAGAACCGAAUUCAAGAUUGGACUGAUGAGGAGAAAAGAAUUGAUUGUAAGGCUUUGUCACAAAUUCAACUCCAUUUGCAUAAUAAUAUUUUGCAGGAAGUUUUGAGCGAGAAAACUGCCGCCGCUCUAUGGUUAAAGCUAGAAGGGAUUUGCAUGACUAAAGAUAUCACCAGCAAGAUGCAUCUGAAGCAAAAAUUAUUCCUGCACAGGUUACCCGAGGGAGGUAAUGUUUUGAAUCAUAUUUCAGAGUUUAAGGAGAUUAUAUCCGAUCUAGCUGCAAUGAAGGUUAAGUAUGAAGAGGAAGAUACUGCUUUAAUGUUACUUUGUUCACUGCCAAGUUCUUAUACCAAGUUUAGAGACACCAUAUUAUACAGUCGUGAUACUCUCACGCUUAAUGAAGUUUAUGAAGCUUUGAACUCUAAGGAGAAGAUGAAAUUAAUGGUGCCUCAUGAUGGUUCAAGUUUAUCCCAAGCCGAGAGAUUAUCUGUUCGUGGCAGGACAAAGGAGAAGAACUCACACAAUGGAAAAAGAGGCAAACGUAAGAACGGCCACAGGGGCCGAUCGCAAUCCAGAGACAAGAAAUAUUGCAGGUAUUGCAAGAGAGAUGAGCAUGACAUCUCAGAGUGUUUCAAGUUGCAGAACAAGGAAAAGAGAGAAGGUAACAAACAAGGUGACAAUUCUGCCAACGUUGCUCGUGAUGAUAGUUCCGAUGAUGCUCUUGUCGUUAUUGCUGGAUGUGCUGAGACUAAUGAUGAGUGGGUACUUGACACUGCAUGCACUUUUCAUAUGUGCCCGCAUAGAGAUUGGUUUACUACUUUUGAUUCCACUUCUGCUGCUGGUUCCGUUUUGGAUUUUGAUAAUUCACCAUGCAAGAUUGAAGGCAUAGGUACUAUUCGAAUCAAGAUGUUUGAUGGCAUAAUCAGAACUUUGACAGAUGUUCGGUAUAUUCCGAAGAUGAAGAGAAAUCUUAUUUCUAUGAGUGCCCUUGAUGCAAAGGGAUACAAGUAUUCAGGUGGAGAUAGUGUUUUGAAAGUCACAAAAGGUUCCCUUAUUGUGAUGAAAGGUGAUUUAAGUUCGACCAAUGGUCUUUAUUACCUUUGAGGUUCUACCGUUUCAGGUAACGCUACUCCAGUUAUUUCAAAGAAUUCUGAUUGUGAUGCUGCUAACCUUUGGCAUAUGCGUCUUGGACAUAUGAGUGAACUUGGUUUGGCAGAGUUAAAUAAGAGAGGUCUUCUUGAUGGAUAUGAACCUGGUAAACUGAAAUUUUGUGAGCAUUGUAUCUUCGGCAAACACAAGAGGGUGAAGUUCAAUACUUCGACUCAUACAACUGAAGGUAUUCUUCAUUAUGUACAUUCUGAUUUAUAGGGACCAUCUCGCAGAAAGUCACUAGGUGGUGCUAGUUACAUGCUGACUAUUAUUGAUGAUUAUUCGAGAAAAGUUUGGCCUUAUUUCUUGAAGCAUAAAUAUGAAGCAUUCUCAGCAUUUAAGGAGUGGAAAAUUAUGAUUGAAAGACAAACUGAAAGGAAGGUAAAAAUACUUCGCACUGAUAAUGGUAUGAAAUUCUGUUCUAAGCAAUUUAAGAAUUAUUGCAAGUCUGAAGGCAUUGUCAGACACUACACCGUUCCUUAUACUCCUCAACAAAACGGUGUUGCUGAGCGUAUGAACAUGACCAUUAUUUCAAGAGCCCGUUGUAUGUUGUCCAAUGCAGGUUUGCAUAGGCGUUUUUGGGCUGAGGCCGCUUCCACUGCUUGUUAUCUCAUUAAUCGUUUACCAUCUAUUGCUCUUAAUAAGAAAACUUCAAUUGAGGUAUGGUCUGGUUCACCUGCUGAUUAUUCACAGUUGAGAGUUUUUGGUUGCACUGCUUAUGCUCAUGUUGAUAAUGGAAAAUUGGAGUCUAGGGCUGUUAAGUGCAUCUUUCUUGGUUAUAAGUCUGGUGUUAAAGGUUUUAAAUUAUGGAAUUCUGAAACCCAGAAGGUUGUUAUUAGCAGAAAUGUUAUCUUUAAUGAAUCUGCUAUGUUACAUGAUGUUUCAUCUACUAAUGUUCCUGUUGAGAGUGAACAGCAGCCUCCUAUUCAGCAGCCUACUGUUCAGGUGGAGCAUGUUAUUGAUUCAGGUGAUACAUCUAGUAAUGAAAUUGUUGAUGCACAUGAUGAACCCGUCGUUAAUGAUGAUCAUGUCACUCCCACUCCAAAUCAGCCUAUUGUUCCGCCCAGUUGGAAUCUCGCACGUGACAGAGUUAGACGGGGUAUUAAUAAACCUGACAGGUUAAUUGAAGAGUGCAAUAUUGUUUCUUUUGCUUUAUCUGUUGCAGAAGAAAUUGAAGGUAAUGCUGAACCUUCUUCAUAUUCUGAGGCUAUUAUUUCCGGUGAUAGUAAUAAGUGGAUGACUGCUAUGCAUGAUGAGAUGGAAUCACUUGAAAAGAAUGGCACUUGGGAUUUAGUAAGAUUACCUAGAGAGAAGAAACCUAUUCGUUGCAAGUGGGUUUUCAAGAGGAAAGAAGGUGUUUCUCCUAAUGAUGAGACAAGAUAUAAAGCAAGCAAAGAGUAUGUUAGAGAUUAAUGAACUAAAGAAGCAAUUGAGUAAUGAAUUUGAGAUGAAGAAUUUGGGUGCAGCAAAGAAAAUACUUGGCAUGGAAAUAUCCAGAGAUAGACCGUCUAAAAAAGUGUAUCUAAGUCAGAAGGGAUAUAUUGAUAAAGUUCUUCGUCGUUUUAAUAUGCAUAAUGCCAAGCCAGUAAGUACCCCGUUAGCUGCACACUUCAAAUUAUCAUCAGCUUUAUGUCCUAAGUCAGAUGUAGAUAUUGAGUACAUGUCUAGAGUUCCCUAUUCGAGUGCAGUUGGCUCACUUAUGUAUGCCAUGGUUUGUUCUCGUCCUGACUUAUCAUAUGCAUUGAGUGUUGUCAGUAGAUACAUGGCUAAUCCUGAAAAAGAGCAUUGGAAAGCAGUUCAGUGGAUUUUCAGAUACCUGCGAGGUACUUCUAAUGCUUAUUUACAGUUUGGGAAAACUACAGAUGGACUUGUUGGUUUUGUUGAUUCUGAUUUUGCUGGUGAUUUGGAUAAGAGAAGAUCACUCACAGGUUAUGUUUUUACUAUUGAUGGUUGUGCUGUGAGUUGGAGAGCCACUUUGCAGUCUAUUGUGGCUUGUUCCACUACUGAUGCCGAGUAUAUGGCUAUUUCUGAGGCAUGCAAAGAAGCUAUCUGGUUGAGAGGUUUUUAUCCUGAGCUUUGUGGAGAUUCAUCUUGCCCUACCGUAUUUAGUGACAGUCAAAGUGCUAUAUAUCUUACAAAGAAUCCAAUGUAUCAUGAGAGGACAAAGCACAUUAAUGUCAGAUUUCAUUAUAUUCGAGAUGUUAUUGCUAAAGGCGAUUUGAAGGUAUGCAAGUGUGACGCCCCGAGACCGAUGUGCCAGGUGUCCUCCAGUUAUUCGUUGUUGUUGCCUUGUCAUUCGCUUGCGUGUUGCAUCUUGUCAUGUCAUCAUGUGCAUUGCAUCAUCAUGUUUUAAAACUUGCAUCCGUCCGGAUUCUCCCAGUUCCUUCCAUUGUCCGUUCUGAGCCCAGACACACUUGCACGCGCCCGCGGCAUGCCUGAAAUAUUAUUUUAUAAGUGGCCGGAAAAUGUUAUCGGAAUGGGAUGAAAGUUGGCAUGUGGUGUUGUUAUGUUGUAGAUAGACCGCCUGUCAAGUUUCAUCGCAUUCGGAGUCGGUUUGAUAGCCCAACCGUUAACUAUAGUGGCAGUAUAGACGGUCUAACGUCGGAUGUUUUCGGUCUCCGGAAACAGUCGUCGGGUCUCUCUCUUCUCUUCUCUUAGCUCGAGCCCUUCUGCACAGCCCACAAGUUUCAACCGACCUCUCGCGCGCGUCCGAGAGUUGUCCCGAACCCGACCCGGACUGUCGUCACCGUUGUGUCCAGAACAUCCCCAUACAUCUAUAAAACAUCACCGUUUUCUCAUUUGGAUUCCCUACCUAUUUUAUUCUCAUCCGUCGGUUUUCGAUCCGAUGAUCCAAAUCCCUCUCCUUUAAUCCUUUUGCUAUAUAUAUCAGGCAAAACCCUAAAAACUAGGUCGCUUGUCCCCCUCAGCUGCCGCCGCCACACUCAAAUCCCACCUCGGGAUCCUCCCAGAUCCCCUUUCUCCUUGUUUUCCUCCUCCACCCAAUCCCGAAGGCGCAGCCACCUCUCUCCAAGAUCCUCUCGGCCUCUACCUACCAGUCCAUCCAGCCAUCGACCGAACCAGCAGGCCCCGUGCCCCCUCCGUGCUCGUGCAGGCGCUCCUCGAGCCGCCCUCGUCCAUCGCCCCGCCUCAAGUCCGCUGAUGCCAAGCGCCACCCUGACCUUCCUGCGGCCACUUCUCCUCCCCCUGCUCCUCCACGCGGUGCCGACCGGCAACAAGACGAACGAGAACCCCACUGGGGCUCCUUCUCUACGCCCUCUCCUGGAGCCACCCGCUGCUGCUGCUCUUCUUCGAGGCGCAAGUCCCGCCGCGGCUGCUGCUCUGCUCCUGCCUCCGUGGAGCUCCCACGCAGAUCCUCGCCGUUGUUCCACGUCGGAUCCGGCCGGGGGCCGCUGGAUCUCGCCGCCUCCGCCAUGAACCCGUCCAUCCCCGACCUCCUGUGCGCGCCUCUACAUCAUCUGCAUCGAGCAGGUGGUCGCCUGCUCGAGCCUGUGCCUUGCUCGCCCGUGUUGACCUUGUCCCAGCGCGCGUGGACCGGUCAACUCCGUCCCCUGGGCCGGCCCUUCUCCUCCUCUUCUCCCAGCCAGGCCUUGGCCCGAUGUGAGAAACUCCUCCAGUCUGAUCCUGUUCGGCCCGAUAGCUCAGAUUCGGUCCAUAUAUGGUUUUUUUGCUGUGCGCUGCGAUUUUCCUAAUUGUUCAAAAAACUACAGCUUUACAGAAUGACCCCUAAGCUCCAUGCAUAUUGUAACUCUCAAACCGUGCAUCACAUGUAAAUAACUUAUAUAUGAAAAAUGCUUAAAAUUGUGUCUAGUUUCAUAAUAUGCAACUUUCAUGCAUGUUUAAAAUGUUUAAAAUGAUGUUUGUUUAAAUUUGCCCCUAUGCCAUGCUAAAAUGACUUAAUUCAUAACCAAAUAACCGUAACUCAGAAUUUAAUAAACUUUAUAUGUAAAUGGGGUAAAAAAAUGCCUAGUUUAACAUGGUGGCAUCACUUUGCAUGUUUAACAACUCUAAAAUUGUGUUUAGGGCAGAACGGUACUAAACCUAAUAAAUGCAUAUGGGGAUUUUCCGGAAGUGUUGUUUGUUGUUUCCGGCCUCAUUUAAACUUGACUAGAUAGGUAGUUUUCAUUUGCUUCACCUUUUGCCAUGCUAACAACAUUUAAUCUUGUUGGGUACCUAAACAAGAGAGAACUAAAUAAGUCAUGUGGUGUUUUCUUCAAUAUGCAACGGAGUUGCAUAUUGUGCUCCACUUAAUUUGUAGUAUUGUUUGUGCACUUUGUCAUGCCAUGCAUAUUUAAACCGGACAUGCAUCAUACUUGAUUGUGCAUCAUGACAUGCUUAUAUGAUGGUUGUUUACUAUGUUGUUUGCUUCUUUCCGGUGUUACUUCUUCGGGUUGGUUCCUGUAAAAACCGUAAAAUAAAUAAAUAAAUAGUAAUAAAAUUAGAUAACAAUAAUUUCAAUGGCGUUGCCAAAACAUUAAUUAAAAUAAUAGAAAUAACUACACUUAAUUAUUAUUUUUAUUACAGCUAAUAGCAUUUAGUCAUGCACAACAAUUCUUCUCCAAACCUCCCUAUAUUUUAUAGACCCUUGCCUCAUUUCCUUCACAUAAAAUAAAUGCCAACUAAUGGCCAGCCAAGCAAAUUACACUUGUCCCUAGUACAGCCCACAAGAGACACAAGUGGAGGCAUGCAUGCAAGACUAACCACGCAUGCAUGCCAGAUGUAAUGCCUCUCCAAACCGACAUAGCUAUUCACCCCACUAUAAAUAGGAGCCAUCCCUUUCACUGUGGCCACACACAAUCAUCCGCUGGAGAAACCCCUCUGCCUUUUCACCUUCUGCCACACUGCUAUCCUCCCCUGCUGUGAAGCUCUUUGGGUUGCAUGCGCCACCAGAUACUAAUCAAGUACCUUGUUGUGUUAGCCCUUCUUGCUUGAUUUCUUAUCUAUCUCCACUUCGGUUUGAAUCAGUCCAUAAGCAUCUAUUCACCUUGAUCUAUUUACCUUGCUGUAAAAAGAGAAACAAUAGUUAGUGAAAAAAAAACAUAAACUAGAUGGAGGAAAACAAAGACAUUGCAGUUUUGUGAUUCAUGUGUAGCUGUAAAAGAAAAUCUAUGUGUGUGUUCAUCUCUACCUUGUAUUAGAUCUGACAUGCUAAGAAUUAAAUCUUAGAAAUUAACCCAUUAUUAAGAUUGCAUGUGUAGCUUUGGGGCCAGACAAUCUGUGUAUGCUACUUGACCACUGUCAUUUUCAGUAAACAUUGGUUGGUUAAUGUUCUGUUAAGAAAUAAAUCUCAAGAUGGUAUGUCUCACUUGCACAUACCCUGUACCGGAAAAUAACCCAUUUAACUUUUGCACAAAUGAAAUCUUGCUAGAAUAUCUCACUCAUUUUUUUUCCGGUUUCCCUUAGUAUAACUAGCAAAAGUGCCCGUGCGUUGCAACGGAAGAAACAAAUUAUCACACUUAGCGCCCCAUCCUUGUUACCACUUAUUUUCUUUAUCCUCAUUGUCGGUCACGCUGUCCACUACACGGCGAACGUUCCACCUAAGCUUGGAGCUAAUGAAGAAUCGUCUACAUACACAGACCAGCGAACAGCCGCGUUUGAGAUCCCGGCCACAUCCGCGCAAUCUAAUGAUUGCGCCUUGUGUUUGUGCUAUCCAUAUUUUACAUCGUAGCAGUUCAGUACCAGUCCAUAAAGGACACAAAAAAUCUUCAAAUUUAACUUUAGUUUAAAACAACCAACACCUUUUUUUGUGGGGUAAAACGAUCAACACCAAAGAACAGGGGAGGUUGCGAGUUUGAUUCAUGUCACGGUCAACUAUUUUUGCCUCAUCUCCUAAAUGGGCUGGUGGGUCUGAUUUAUUGGGCCGGAUCGCACAGACAGGUUGGGAGGGCACUUUUUUUCAUUGGUGGAAUGUAACACAGACGAACGGGGCAGAGGCCCGGCGGCCCAGGAUAGACGAUCUGUAGAAUAGCCUAGCUGAGUACGGAUAAACGCUAUGGACAUACCAAAUGGGAGGCCAAAUAAUAUUAUACCUCCAUUUAUAUAAAAAAAUAGCAUAUAUGCCCGUAUGUUACAACAGUAAAAAAAAAGUGAUAUAAAUUUAGUGAGGAUUAUAUGCACAAACAUAACAUUCAAUGUGUUAUAAAGUUGGCGCAAAUUUAGUAAGUAUCAUAAGUGGGUCUGCUGCAACCGAAGAAAAAAUAAUGUGAAUUUAGUGAGGAUUGCAUGUAGGAAAAAAUGCCACAUCAUUUUUAUUCAUAAAAUAUGGAUGAGGCCAGUACGCCUGUCAUUGGUUCAAAUUAAAUUCCAUGCCAACCAAAUAUGGCGCCCACAAAUCCCGCACGUCCUAUCCAUUUGGUAGGGAUCCUCCCUCAAUCCUCCUAUAAUUACCGUAUAUUUCCUUAUUGUGUAUCAAGCAUGUCAUGAAUAUCAGUGGCCAGCCGGUUAAUUAUCACAUAAUGACCCUAUAUUUCCUUUCUCUCCCUUCCCUUUCGCCCUCCUUCUUUAUUUCUCAUGCAAUAUCCACGCCUUAUUUUUUUCUUUAUUUCCGAAGCAGCUCGAUGCCUGACAACCUAAGAACGUAUAUAAACUGCAAAAAACUAAUGUAAAAUAGCAAGGUGGGACUAUUUAAUAAUAUGUAAACAAUUAUGAAAAAGUCUCCAACCUGCUCCUUGUCCGUCCCGUGGGCCGCAACACCCGUCUCGGCCCAGCAUUCCGUGCCCAUCAAGCACCCAACUCCCUCAGCCCGAGUAUACUUGUUUCCUAUUCUUUAUGUUAAUGAGCCAGACGCCCAAACAGGCACAUCCAUGAGCCUAGCUAGACUGUGGUUUGCUAUGUUGGCAUCUUCACGGCAAACCAUGGUUCGAAUCCCAGUUUUCUUAUCCCGACUUUGUUUUUCUAUUUAGAUUCAAACUAAAAGCGUAAAAUCAUAGAAAAAGGGCAUUGUGACGGUGAAUCCACGGAGUCAAUCCGCGCUUUAUUAUUAGGGAUAGAUUUGAGUCUAUCAAUGUUGCUGUUCACUUGGUUGUUUGUGGGGUUCAGAGAGGAGUGUGCGCGCACACACAGUAGGAAUACUUAGAUUUAAUUUGUGGCAGCACCUAACCAUCACAAGCAAUUAACUUGCCACCCAUAGAUUUGUAGUAAGCAUUUAACAGUGGGGAUUCACUGGUUAAUUCCUAGUUUUGAGCUUAAUAAAAAGAAUCAUAGUAGUGCAGGGAUAGCAUAGUAGAGUCAAAAAUAAUGAUAAAGAAUAUGGAGCAAAUCUGCAGACCACGUCCACACCACAAGAGUAAAGCUUGAUUAAUUCCUUGGUCUUGAGAUUAACAAGAAGCAUGGCAGUAAGGGGAGUCACGGCACAAACACUUGUAGUAGAAGCAAGAACACUGCACAGAGAGGAAUUUGGACUGGCACUUACACUAGUAGCAGUAGACAAAGGCGAGCCGGGCGCUGGUAGCGGCCAUGUUGCCGGAGCCGCGCCGGUGAAGCCGCUCGCACCUGACGGCCGUAGUUGCACGCCUCAUGCGUGCAGCUCUGCUGGAGGAAGAUGUAGGCAUGGAGACGUCGUUGCCGCUGCAGCCGGUGGCAAGCCCACCGGACCUGGAUCAGGCGGCGCUAGGAUUGAGUGGUGGCGACGUUUUUGGCGGCGGCGGAUCAAAUAAAUAGGGGGAUAUGGUAGAGGGAGACGAGGAGAAUCUGUAGGUAUCUGCCGUGUCGCCGGAGAUGCCCGCACGGGGCAGAUCGAGGCGACGGUGGCCGUGCUCUGUUCUUGGGGGAGAGAGAGAGGUGAGUGGGCUGGUUCUGUUCAUGGGACAAGAAGAAGUUAAGUAGUGUCUCUGGAUAGACACGGGCCUUAACCAGCGAAGUACUAGUAGUACAGUACUGGGCUCUGGACUGAAUGACAUACGUGCAUGCUACUCUGUUUUGGAUGGCUUAAUGCAUUUUAUCUCUCAAUGAAACACUAGGACGUAUCACCACUUAGUUAAUUACAUGUGGCUUGCUCAACAUGGCCGUGUUGCUGGAUGUUAGAUUUUUAAUUAGAAAAAUAAAUAAUAAUAUAAACAUGUUCCUGAUAUAAUUAUCAGGAGUCGAUCUCGGACCCUAGGAGACACGUCUGGUGGUUCCGAGUUGAUCGAAGCGCUACCCGGCAAGUCGUCAUCUCCUUGACCAUGUCUUGAUAAUUGUUUUCUGGGCUAUGGGUCAUUUCUAAAAUUUUGCAUAAGAAUUAAAAAUAAAUAUUUUUCAUAAAUGAAAUGAGAUUUGGAUCAGGUGGAUCCACUAAUUUGGCAAUUGGACCAGAUCAGGUGAAGUAUCUGUAUUAAGUAGUUGUGACCCGGGCAGGACUACAUUAUAAAUAAAUGUUUGGUGGGUAGGGGAGCUUAUGUUGGUGAAGGCAACCCGGGUAGGGUUGGCUUGGAUGGCGGGCUCCUCUACAUAGGGUAUCACAUUAGGACACAACCAACUGGCGCUUAUUUCAAAAGCGGCGCAAAUCGUACUGAUCAUAGACCUGGAAUGGGACGGGCUGAACUGACUACCCAUGCCAAGUAGUUGCCUCUACAUGGGUGAGAAGGUGGCUGUAGCCGGGUAGGUACAGUCACCCUAGGGCGGGACCGCCGGUCAGGGGUCUCGACCCGCGGGCCUUUAGUAAGGCAAGGUGGAAAAGCAGAGGUAGUGUACGGGUUGGUUAAAGGUUCUGGUUCCUUGGUCUAGUCGUGCGCUCGGGUAGCGCAUGGACGACUUGUACCAUGUGAUGCUAUGGGCAAAGCAGUACACCUCUGAUCAGAGUAAAUGUGAUAUCACUCCCAGCUUCCGGGAUUGGAAGUGCGUCGUGUGGGUUUUUCUCUAACACAAAAUGUAAGAUCCCACGUCGCUCUGUUGCCAGUAGAUUUUAUGAAUAAAAUUUGGUUUUCAACAAAAUGGGUUAAGGGAAAAUAUUUUUACCUACAUAGUAUUUUGAGAUAAUGGCUAGGUGGUGGUAGCCGUGGCCGAUGAAGUUUUUCCUCUUUAAAAACUCAUACAUCCACUUUUCCCGGUGACUUGCGGAGUACGUAUUUUAUACGUACUCAGCUGCAUUUAUGUUGUUUUUCAGAGCAAGAGAGUUAUGAGAACUCCGAGGCGAUAGAGAAUGGUACUUAUGAUGAGUCUAGUCAUUUUAACGACUUCGGUUAUACUGAAGUGGAGUAUAAUUAUGAGAAAGUCGACAAUCAAGGCUAUGAAGAGUAGAUGCCCUCCAUGGUUGGUCGAAAAGGCUCGUACUAGAGGCGGGUGACGAUCUAUCGUCAUGGCCGCUUAGGCUUAGUCGACACUUGAGGUGUCUAUGUAAUAAAAGCUUGCCUACUCAUGGCAGCCGCUCCGUCUUGUACAUGAUACUGUUCUCCUUAACUGAUCCUGGCGCAACUCUGAAGUGACGGCUUCCGUUACGCCUGGCUCUGUUGGACGUAACGGGGCGUCACAGUUCCGAUAACGUCGCGUUUGUGAGGACCCGUUCGUCUACGUCUGUUUGUCUUCUUCAUGGACUCGUUCUUCUUCCUUGCGGGAUCUCAGGCAAGAUGAUCAUACCCUCGAAAUCACUUCUAUCUUUGCUUGCUAGAUGCUCGCUCUUUUGCUAUGCCUAUGCUGCGAUACCUAUCACUUGCUUAUCAUGCCUCCUAUAUUGUUGAACGAAGCCUCUAACCCACCUUGUCCUAACAAACCGUUGUUUGGCUAUGUUACCGCUUUGCUCAGCCCCUCUUAUAGCGUUGUUAGUUGCAGGUGAAGAUUGAAGUUUGUUCUUUGUUGGAACAUGGAGAUGUUGUUCCUUGUUGGAACAUGUUUACUUGUUGGGAUAUCACAAUAUAUCUUAUUUAAUUAAUGCAUCUAUAUACUUGGUAAAGGGUGGAAGGCUCGGCCUUAUGCCUGGUGUUUUGUUCCACUCUUGCCGCCCUAGUUUUCCGUCAUAUCGGUGUUAUGUUCCCGGAUUUUGCGUUCCUUACGUGGUUGGGUAAUAAUGGGAACCCCUUGACAAUUCGCCUUGAAUAAAACUCCUCCAGCAAUGCCCAACCUUGAUUUUACCAUUUGUCACCUAGCCUUUUCUUUCCCUUGGGUUCUGCAAACUCAAGGGUCAUCUUUAUUUUAACCCCCCCCCGGGCCAGUGCUCCUCUAAGUGUUGGUCCACCUGUCAGCUGCCGGUGGCCACCAGGGGUAACUCUGGGCUGGCCUACCCGUACCUAAGACAACCUGAGUGUGCCCUGAGAAAGAGAUAUGUGCAGCUCCUAUCGGGAUUUGUCGGCACACUCGGGCGGGGUUGCUGGUUUAGUUUUACCUUGUCGAAAUGUCUUGUAACCGGGAUUCCAAGUCUGAUCGGGUCUUCCCGCUAGAAGAAAUAUCCUUCGUUGACCGUGAGAGCUUGUUAUGGGCUAAGUUGGGACACCCCUCUAGGGAUUUGAACUUUCGAAAGCCGUGCCGUGGUUAUGGGCAGAUGGGAAUUUGUUAAUGUCCGGUUGUAGAAAACCUGAAGUUGACCUUAAUUAAAAUACAUCAACCACGUGUGUAACCGUGAUGGUCUCUUUUCGGCGGAGUCCGGGAAGUGAACACGGUGUUGGAGUUAUGCUUGACGUAGGUUGUUUUAAGAUCACUUCUUGAUCAUAGUUCAUCGACCAUGCUUUGCCUUCUCUUCUCGCUCUCAUUUGCGUAUGUUUAGCCACCAUAUAUGCUAGCCACUUGCUGCAGCUCCACCCCAUACUUUUCCUUACCCAUAAGCUUAAAUAGUCCUGAUCGCGAGGGUGCGAGAUUGUUGAGUUCCCGUGACUCACAGAUACUUUGAAAACCAGUUUGUAGGUGCCGUUGAGACCGUGCAGGAGACUCAACCAAGCUCAAGGAGGAGCUCGAUGAAGAUCUUGUCCUUUGUGUCGUUUCGUUCUAGUUGAUCAGUAGUGGAGCCCAGUUGGGGUCGAUCGGGGACCUUAUCGCAUUUGGGGUUCUUCUUUUAUUUUGGUUCCGUAGUCGGACCUUGAUUAUAUCUGGUUGAUGUAAUGUUUUAUUCUUGUAAUUGUGUGAAGUGGUGAUUGUAAGCCAACUAUGCAUCUCUUUCCCUUAUGUAUUACAUGGGUUGUGUGAAGAUUACCUCACUUGCGACAUUGCUUUCAACGCGGUUAUGCCUCUAAGUCAUGCUUCGACACGUGGGAGAUAUAGCCGCAUCGAGGGCGUUACAGCAAGAUAAGUACUCAUGGUAAUCCAGCUGAUAUGAUGACAAAGCCAGUUCCGACCAAUUAGUUUGAGUUUUGCUCAGACUUAGUUGGUAUUUCUCAAUAGUCCUAUAGACUUUGACGCACAAGGUGUUUAAACUGAUUUGGAUGGAGUUAUUCACUUUCUUCGACUACUGGAGGGAAUUUGGCUCAAGGUGGAGAUUGUUAAAUUGUGAUCCAAAUUCUAGUACCGUAUUGGACUAGACGUAGUACAUACGGUGUGGGCCUUUUGCGUUGGUACCGACGCGUACGAGUACAACUCGUUUACUUGUCCUACAAGGACUGCUAUGUAUUGCCCCUCAUAUAUACCCCAUGUAAUCGCACCUCAGACGGCAUGUCGUCUCGUGCUUAUAAUACUCCUUCUCAUAAUGAUCGCGCCUUUGUGCGUCCGUGGUUUUCUUCCGCAAGGAUUUCCACGUAAAAAUCUGUGUGUUCUCGUGUCUCUUUUAUCUCGUUAUUAUCUAAUAGAUUAGGCCAUUCGGCCAGACGAUGCCCGAUAGGCAAUGCAGUCGGCCAGGGCGAAGGGGUACGUACAUGGAGUUCGAAGUGCCCAUGGAUUGUAGGCGCGCACCGAUUGAUCAGGUGAUUACCCUAGCAUGAAUACAUGCAUGAAAGGACCCAUGUACUGGCCAGGUCGUACGUAAUUCUAAUACACAUGUGUCCCAGUGUAUGUACAUAUACAUGAAUACGUGUCUGGCUUGCCGGUACAUAGUAUGUCCUGAUUACCCAAAUACCGGCAAAUAUGUAUGCCCUUGUGGCCAAUUACCCGAUCGAUCAACGGCGUGAAUACGUGUCCACCUCGCCGGUACAUACGUAUGUCCGAAAUACCAAAAUACCGGCAAAUACGUACGCACUUGUGGCCAGUUACCCGAUCGAUCAAUGGCGUGCUGUGCACUGCUUGGAUGCUCAUGCGUGUGCAACGGAUGGAAAGAUAAGCAUCAACGCAUUUAUCUUAAAAACAGCUUCGCGUGAAUAUCUCUUUCAAAAAGAUGAGACCGGCUUCGGCGCCCAGUGUGCCAUGCAGUGUCGAUGCACCACCCGUCGGCUUCGAUGCGGCCAACAGGCCAGUCGGCUUCGCCCUGGCCGACUGCAUGCCUAUCGGGCAUCGCCUGGCCGAAUGGGCUUGAAUCCAAUCGGCUAUAGGGAAGCCGACGCUGUAUUAUUUUUGAAAAAAAAAAUCAAAUCUGUGUAUUAUUUCUUGAAUUAAUGAAAAAAUUUGUAUUAUUUUUUUUAAAAAAAUAGCCAACAAAUGCGCUCCUUCCUGCACUUUGACGUGUGCCGGUUGGUGCGGUGCGACAAUAUACCGUGGCACACCAGCUGCUUAGGAUGAGACUCAUUAGUGUCGGUUGGUGCGGUGCGACAAUACGAAUUCAAUGGCAUAAUUUUUUGGGUCACUUGACCCACAUUUUAUCAAGAUUCUUGGACUUAUCAACUCAGACACUAAUUCCCUAUGCCAAAGCUGUCUAUUGGUUGCUUUUAUUGCGUACGCCCACUCGUAUAAUAUAACAUUCCCAGAUAUGUGUUUAAAUAUGGAUCAUUUCAAGGAGUCAAAAAGAGCCAGGAUUUUCACUUUAUAUUAAACCUUAACUAUCAUGCAUACAUCUCAAAUGCCAUGCAAAGCUUAAUAGGGCGAAUGUUAACUUGAGUUCCUAGCGACAAAGCAAGGACAUCGUUUUGCUUUUUGUCUAGUCAUCUUAGUGACUUGUCUCACAAGCCUGGUAGAGAUACUUACUCGUUACAUAGCAAGGCCAUGAAGAAUUGAAAUUAGCAAAUAAUCCAAAAUCAAGCCAAAUAAUCUUUCCACACUUGUGAAUCACAAUUUCACCAUCACUAAUUAACUAACAAAUCAAUGUUUUGUAUUCAUGUUUCUGUUAUGUUACACAAAGGGUUUGGUGCGCGAUCUAUAUUUCUUUUGCUAUCCGAGUUGGAAAUCAAUCAACACUAAGAAGUUUCUCCUUGUUGGUUGAGUUUGUGAGAGGUUGUUUGUCAUGAUUUCUGGGGUUAUUCACUUUGGGGUUGCUCAUAUGCAUAUGUGCAAUAAAUGAUACAAACAUUGGCAAGCACGGCACACGCGGUAAACUAAAUGACCACAAUAAUUGGCAUGUGAUGUUUGGUGAAAAAAAUUGAUAUCUUGGCCACACAACACAGUUUCAGUUGCUAAUCUUCUAUACAUAUCUACUAGUACUAGCUUCCACAUGCAGCAGGAUCUGGCUCAGUUAAGAAAAAGGGUUUCCCCCCAUUUUGUAUUCCAAAGCAACCAUCCGAUACAUCCAACAAUAGGUGUCGGGGCGGAAGCAGCACAAGCACGCCUAAAAAAACAAAAAGAAACAAAUGCCGAUAACGGCGGAUCGGCAAAAACGAAGAAGCCUCGCGACCGCUGCGUCCACCGGAGAUCGCCCACCAAGCUCCGAGACUCCGAAGCGCCGGUACCAAUCAACACCUCCAAGAAGGAACGCGACGAUGACGACGCUGCUGCCAAGGGUUUCCCCCGGGAUCUGGCUCAGUUGCUAGGGGAGAAUGCCAAAAUUUAGGAUGAGAGCAACAAUGAGGACCAUGGUGAUUGACAUCGGCAGUUACAUAGCAUGAUCUAGUAGGGAACGAGAUGUAUUGGAAACUUGAGUUGGAUACAGGUAUGAAAAUAGAUUAAUGCAUGGAAGAGAAGUAGAUCUAACAAAACAUAGCCCAAUGUGGCGCUAUGUUGUCAAUUCAAUGCAUUUCAUCCUAGAGUGUUGAGCUGCAUAUUACAUCACUUGGGUACAUACCAAUUGGUCGAGCUAAGCAUGGCUCUGUCUCCGAAGCUGGGAAAGAUAGAAUGAAAAAUAUAUGUAUUCUAUCUCUGUUAUCCUAAAUGGGCUCGUGUGACUUAAAGCAUGAGAACACGCCGUUAUUAACAUCUACUCGUCACCUUGCCGUCUUUGGUUGUUUAUAAAUCGUGUUUGUCCAAGCCCGCCUUUCUUUCCCCAGAAAGUAGAACAAAACUUUUGUUAUAUUAACCAAAAGUUACGUUCAACAGUCAAUGAGACUUGUGCACAUAUGGUCCUUUAAGUGUGGCGAUGACAUCAGUGUCCUCCAACCGUAUAAAGGAAAACCACGUAAUAGUAAAUUAAUAUAAAUAAGGAAAUAUGUUUUACUUUGAAACUACUCCAUUUAAAAAUAGACUACAUUUUAGGCAUCUAUUUACUUGCAAUAGUAAGUGACGUUCUAGGAAAUGCCCUUUGGUGGACGGGUGCAUUGGUGGACUUAAUAAAACAUAUUUCCACAAUGCAAAAAAAUAAAAACAAUUGUACACACACAAAUACACAUAUAACACGUUCAAGAAAAAAAUUCAUAACAAUAUACUUUCAUACAUGGCAUAGACAAAAAAACAAAUACAUAAAUGAAAAUGGACCAAUCUUUUUUUAUUGUUGGGCAGGAUUUUUUUUGUGCUGCUUGCAAAUCAUAAUAUUUUAAAAUGAAAUCUCCCAAAUCCUUCAUGAAUACGUACAAGUUUCCAUAGUUUUUUUUAAAUUGAAAGUUGGAAAUAUGAUUUUUGAAUCAUUUCAAAAAAACAGGAGCCAAUGCCCCCGUCUACCAAAAGAUCCCUUCCGUGACGUUCUACGCUUUCUAGAGAUAACUCACAUCAUCUCCUAUCAUAUUCUUGUCCUCCUUGAGUGAUUUCCUUUUUUUCGACGACCAUGAGUGAAUUCCUUACUACUCCCUUCUUUCUAGAUUAUAAAGUGUCCAUACAUUUUAUGAUUCAACUUCGACCAUUAAUUGGCCAGUAACAAAUGAAUUAUUCUCAUAAAAUUGAAAUAUACGAAACUUCCUUUUGAAUACGAAUUCAGUGGCAUUACUUUUUGGGUCACUUAACCCACAUUUUACUAAAAUUAUUGCAGUUAUAACCUAAGUAAAGAUUCCCUAUACCAACAUCAUCUAUUGGUUGCUUUUAUAGUGUAUGCUCAUCCCUAUAAUAUGACAUCCCGGGUGAUGGGUAGCCUGGCCCGAAGCCGUACGUCUGGGCCAGGCUCGGACCUCACUUACCAGCCCACAGCCCGCGACCCGAAGCCCAAGAAAAGCUCGGAGAAACAUGAUUUAUACGCUUUUAUAUAAAUAUAGGUACAGUAUUAUAGUACUAAUCCCCGAAAGUAGCAAUAUUUUUAUGUUAAAAUGUGAAAAUGGGCAUUUUGUCGGGCUGCCGGUUCACCUAGGUUGGGCUCGUGCUUGUAUUUUGAGGUCGGGCUUUUUGAAACCCGGCCCGGCCUGGAAAUGCCCAGGAUUAGUUUAAAUGGAUCAUCUCAACGAGUCAAAAAAGAGGCAGGAUUGCCACUUUAUGUUAAACCUUAACUAUUAUACAUAAAUCUGAAAUGCCAUGCAAAGCUUAGUAGAGUGAAUGUUAACUUGAGUGCCUAGUUAGGGCAUGUCCAAUGCCUGAGCGCUUGCACGAGCGCUUAAGGAAAUAAAAGAAAAUUUAAACCAUGUAGCAGCGGCUGGAGCAUUCAGUCCUCCAACCUAAUGACCAGUGGCGUAGUUAGGGGGUGGUCAGGGUGGUCUAUGAACCACCCUAGAAUUUCCCCAUAGCUUGUAUAUAGUGUAGUAAAAAUAUAUUUCUUUAUAAAUAAAUAAAAUUAUGUAAAUAUUUAUAUUGAUGGGCCAUCCUGGCUUAUUGGACUGAUUACGCCACUGCUAAUGACAAGGCCAGGCGCUUAAUAUGGCACACUUCGAGUCCUAGCGCAGAAGGAAAAGAGGUCGUAGCACCCGGCGCGAGAAGUUGCGUCGACGCAAGACUGAAUCCUUGGCUUAGCUGGGAACAGAAAAAAAAAUGGCUGGGAUUUUGGGCAUAACGGCUAGGGAUUUGACCCUAGCGUCCGAGCUAAGCGCCCCCAUUGUAUGUGCCCUUACAAAGCAAGAAUAUCGUUUUUCUUUUUGUCUAGCCAUCUCAGUGACUUGUCUCACAAGCCUGGUAGAGAUACAUACUACACAUUCAUCAUCGCAAAAAAAAAGAUACAUACUACACAUUCGUUACGUAGCAAGGCCAUGAAGAAUUGAAAUUAGUAGAUAAUUCGAAAUCAAACCAAGUAGUCUUUUCAUACUUAUGGAUCGCAACUUCACUAUCACUAAUAACUAACAAAUCAGUCUUUUGUAUUCAUGUUUCUGUUAAGUUACACAAAGGGUUUGGUGGGCAAUCUAUAUUUCUUUUGAUACCCGAGAUCAAAAUCAAUCAACGGUAAGAAGUCUGUCGUUGUUGGUUGAGUUUGUGAUAGGUUCUUUGUCACGAUUUGCUAGCAUUAUUUGCUUUGGGGUUGGUCAUAUGUAUAUGUGCAAUAAAUGCUACAAACAUUGCCAAGUACGCCCAUCCUCUACAUAACUUAGAUGCACACAGUCAACAAAGUCCUCGCACCAAGCCAAAAAGAAGAAAACAAAAUAUAAAUAACUAAGUUCUGUAUAACGCCAAGUCGUAGGUGGCCCAAUUCUAAGAUCAUGCUGCCACCCAUGUUGGGUAAAAGUAUCCCUUACCGUGGCCUCCAAUCGUGUACACACCUCUGUGAACAGGUCUUAAUUCUCCACUCGUUAUAAAAAGGACCAUAAACAUAGCAUGAUCUAGCAGGGAACGGGAUGUAUUGCAAAUUUGAGUCAGAGACAAGUUUGAAAAAAGAAUCCUCAUAAGAGCAGUAGAACUAGGAAGAACAUAGCACAACGUGACUCUAUGUUGUCAAUUCAAUGCAUUUUCAUCCUAGAGUGUUGAGCUGCAUAUUUCAUCACUCAGGUACAUACCGAUUGGUCGAGCUAAGCAUAGCCCGGUCUCCGACACUUGUAAAGAUAGAAUGAAAAAUAAAUGCAGUCUGUUCAUGUAAUCCUAAGGCUGGUCAUAGUGGGGAGUAACUUAGACUAGUAACAUACAUAUGUUACUAGUCUAUGUUACUACCUUCAUAGUGGGUAGUGUCAUAGGUGUGGUAACAUAGUUGCCUUCAUUUAUUACUUUGUAGACUCAUUAUGCAUUGGAAACCGCUAUGUGAUGGUAACAUAUUAUGUUACUCUAUUUGCCUCUCUCCUCAUUAACUAGUUGCCACAUCAUCAUUUUUGCUUAUGUGGCAUCUAUGUUACUACCUAUGUUACUCCCACUAUGACCAGCCUAAAUGGAGUCUUGUGACUUCAAAAAAUGUUGAUAGAAGUACUUUUGACAAAAUAAGAGGUGGCUUAAUUUGGUGGUUGCAUUAUUACGCUAGUGAAGUGAACCUUAUCUCAAUGAUACAAACACCAUACACUGAUCGAGCUUGCAUAUAUUCAUCGAUGCAACAAAAACAAAUGUGAUCAAAUCAAUUUCUUGGUACACAACACGCAAGUCCACAUGCAUGACAACUAUUCCCUCCGUUCCUAAAUAUUUGUCUUUCUAGAUAUUUCAACAAGUGACUACAUACGGAGCAAAAUGAGUGAAUAUAUACUCUAAAAUAUGUCUAUAUACCUCCAUAUGUGAUAGUCUAUUUAAAAUUUAUAAAAAAAACAAAUAUUUAGGAACGGAGAGAAUAUAUUAGACGUCGUUGAAGCGUCUCAGGCCUCGACCUCGUCGAUGUAGUGCUCCUGGCGUCCCUGGUCGACCAGAACCCCCUGCAGCUUCUUGGCGUUGGUCGCCAACACCUUCCCGUGCUCCUCCACCAUGACUCGCCGCACCGCCACCGCGACACCGUCCCGGUCAAACGAACCGUCGUUCUCGUCCCUCGCCACCUCCACGCCGAUCCCUCUCUCUACCAUCGCCCGCGCGAUCAAGGGCUGGUCGACGACGAACGGCAGCAUCACCAGCGGGAUCCCGGAGGAGAGGCUCUCGAUGGUGGAGCCCCAGCCACAGUGCGUCAAGAACGUGCCCGUGGCGCAGUGCGCCAGCGCCUCCACCUGCGGCACCCACCCCGUGCAAACCACCCCGCGGUGCCGCGUACGUUCCUCGAACCCGGCUGGCAACAGAAGCUCGUCGUCGUUGCUGGUGCCCGCCGGCUUGCGUAGCGCCCAGAGGAAGUGCACGCCGGCGAGCUCUAGGCCGAGCGCGAGUUCAUGGGCGUUCUCUGGCGUCAAUGGCGCCUCGCUUCCCAGCGCAACGAAGAUGACGGAGUUGGGAGGCUGGUCGUCCAGCCAUCGCAGGACCUGCGGACGGACGAUGCUGCCUGAGCUGCUCUGCCGGUGGUCUUCUUCAAGGUCGCCGGGUGCCCCCGGUAGAAGGAUCCCGGCGGGGACGGCAGGCUUCCGGAAGAGAUCGGAUAGGAGGCCGAACAUCCGGGGCUCCAAUUCCUCGCAGCUCCGGUGUAUGAUCCGUUCUAAAAAAAAGCUCCGGUGUAUGGUGAGGCGGCUGCGCUCCAAGACCUGCCACCAGCGGUCCAUGUCGGACACGCCGGAUGCGUUGGUACGGAAGGCGUCGGUGAUCCACUGGGCCUCGUGGCGGAGGAAGAAGGUGGUGGACGGGAAGGGAAUCCACCUGGGUGUCUCGGCGAAGUGCUCCGGCUCCAUGCGCGGGUGUGCGGCGUUUGCCCACCGCGGCCCCAGGAAGACCGACAAGGCGGCCUGGGAGGCUGGGAAGUCAGGAACGUGGCGGAUGCCACCUUGAGCUGGUCGGCGAUGGGCGGGACCCAGUGGUGGCAGAAGUCGUGGACGAUCCAGUCGGGCCUCCUACCGGCGGCGAGGAACGCCGCGAGUGGGCCGGCGAGGCCGUCCAUGGCCUUCUUGAGGAGCCCGACCUUGUCGGGCGGCAGGUCAGACGUGACCUCGGCGCCCUCCAGCAGCCCAUCCACGGCCGGAAGAUGCAGCGGCACGAACCGGAGGCGGGCGGACAGACCGGCCGGCACGGCCGGGAGCCUGGCGAGAUUCCGCGGCGUGGACACGAAGGACACGGUGUGGCCCCUGGCCGCGAGGCGCUUGGAGAGCUCCAGGAACGGGAUCAUGUGGCCGAACGCCAGCCACGGGAACACCACCACCUCCAGCCCGCCGGCGCCGGCAGCCGCUGCUUCCAUUGCCAUCUGCUCGCAACGGAUCGAUGGAGCGAAGUAAAACAGGGAGAGGCUUGGUCUUUGGUGUUGCUGCUGGGCAGUGGGCAUAAACUAAAUAAUGGAGCUCUUGGGGAAAAGCUAUUCUCACAUGCAUUAAUAUAGCCCCGUAUAGUGGCACUCAUUAAUGCACGUUGUGCCAUGCUGUUCAAGCUUUUCCAUCAGUCGGACAGAAACGAGUCGUUGUAAGUACCGUUGAUCCAAUUAUUUUUUGAAAGGUGAAGUUCUCUAUACUCUGUCAGUUGCCUUAGCAAUAGCGUGACAUACUGAGAGUGCAUUUGAGCAAGAUAUUACUUCUAAUACUAAUUAAACUAAGUACAAGUUGUGAAUAAUUGAUAAUGGAUGAACUAUUUUUGAGUGCAACCAUUCACUGCAGGCUUCAAACUGAAGGGGUGUUUUUCUUUAUUUAAGAGGACUUGCCUUUUCUUUCAAGACAUGAUGUCAUGUGCAUUUCAUUCAAAAUCUUUUCUGAUGUACACUUGAAAUAAAAACUGACCUGCAUGUCUCGAAAAUACAUUAUAGUAACAAGGUGAUGGCUGUGAAGAAGCAUUUGAAAUAGAUGCAAGGAAAUGUAAUAAAUAAACAAGGUUCAAAAGUGAUGAACCGAUACUUACAAUGCAAAUAGUGCGAUCGUGUUGCCAGGACAUAAAUAAUCCACCAUACUACAAUAAAGGUAUGUGUGGGAGGUUAUCAGGUUAACAAAUAUUAAUAACACCAAAUAGAUGCUAUAUACACCUUUCUGGUAUUCCAGUGUACUUCUUCCGCUUUACCACCCAUCAUCAGAACUAACUCCUUGAAAGCCCAAUCGAAAUAUUCUGCAGUCUCGUUUGUAAGAAGUACUCCAGCGAAAAUAAUACUCUGGAAGUGGUUAUUCACUCCAACGAACAUCCUAAACGGCAUCUUGUAUAUGUUGGUCUCGUACGUUGUAUCGAAUGUUACAACAUCACCAAAGUGAGAAUAUAGAGCUCUGCUCUGACCACUUGUCCACAUGAGAGACCUUAGAUUUUUAUUGGCGUCCAGCUGCAUUGAGAAAACAAACCUAUUGUCCUGAGCUAUAUUGUCUCUGAAACCCUCAAUUGUUUUUCUUACAUCAUCUUUUAGAGCUUCAGCUGCAAUGUCCGAACACAAAGUCCUCAGAGCCUUCUUCAUGAAUGGAACACCAUCCGUUGUACCAUAGAAGCUGCCAACUAUGCCAUUUAUUCUGCUAAGGCUAACCAUAGUUUUGGUAGAAUCAUCUAUGUGUCUAUGAGAAAACAAAUGCUUCUUCUGGCCACAACUCUCAACCAGAUCAUGGUUGUGUUGUUCAUUGAAUAUCUUGACAUACCAUAGUAAAUCAUUGGACCUAAGCAACCUUAGCCGUGCACGACAUCCACAUCUGGUGCUGCUGAGCUUUGUCUUCUUAUCAAUGCCCUGAAAUGUCAGACAAAUAUUUGUUAAGAAUAAGAAAGAUCUAUUUGCGUAAGAGUAAUAUCGCAUAAAGUUUAUACCUAGAAACUUUCACUACCAGAAAAACUGGGGUUGCCGACGGCCAAAUCUAUGCCGACGGCCCCCGUCGGCAUCUAUGGACCUAUGCCGACGGCCAAGGAUAGGCCGUAGGCGUAGAAUAGCCGUCGGCAUACAUCCAUCUAUGCCGACGGGGCCGUCGGCAUAGACGAGGCCGUCGGGACCGUCCGAGCUACGCCUACGGGGCCUGUCGGCAUAGGACAGGCCAUCGGCAUAGCCCGGGCCCACCUGCCCGGUCAGCGCUGACCAUUUGACGGCGUUGAUCCUACGCCGACGGGCGGUAAUGGCGGCCGUCGGCAUAUCUGUGGCAGAGGUAUGCCUAUGGCAUAGCCGUCGGCAUAGGCCCCUCUGCCACGUCAACGAUCCGUGUGCCACGCCACGUCAUCGAUCCGUGUGUGCACAGAUAUGCCGACGGCCUUGCCGUCGGCAUAUGUUUACUUUACUUAAUUUUUUAUUUUUACUUUGGUUAUCUGUGGUAGAGGUAUGCCUACGGCACAGCCGUCGGCAUAGGCUCCUUCGCCACGUCAUCGAUCCGUGUGCCACGCCACGUCAUCGAUCCGUGGGACAACCUCCGUCAUCGAUCCGUGUAUUUUACUUUAUUUUUUUUAUUUUUACUUUGUUUUGUUAUUUUUACUUUAUUUUAGUUUUUGCUUUUGCAUAAGAUAAUUAUGCCUUAUCUAAAAAAACAUACCCGAUGGUAUAUCGAUUGCCCCCCGUUACGAACGUCGCUAUCGCCGUGUCACGGAGGGGGGAAAGGUCGACACGAAAUGAAUUCUGGUUGGUGGGGGGAUUCGGGGUGUAGCUAUGUCACCAAAACAUCGCACGGGUCCCGAUGCAUAUGUGAAAGUGUUCAUGCAUGCGUAGACGCCCGUCUUGGGGCUCCGGGGUGUGCCCCCCCCUCACGGACGGCGCUGCCGCCGGGACCUGGAGGGGGGAAACAGACGCGUGGGGUCUACACGGAGGGGAUCUUGCUGUGGGUCUGGCCCGGAUGUUGCUCCAAAGUGUUCCUAUGGGCUGACCUAACACAACCGGGUGGGGAGGUCCACUGGUCAAAGCCCGUUCGUGCAAAAUCAAAGGGCUAGAUUCCGUGGUCAAACGCUACAGGGUUAGGCGGGACGGGGGCACUGGGGGGUAGCAAUGCCACCGGGUCGCACCGGGCCCUCAUACAUGCGGGGUGGUGUGGUGGCAUGUCUGAAGAGGCGGGACGCGUCUCCGGUGCGUGGCCCCCCUCACGGACGGCGAUGACACGGUAGUAGACGUUCUGCAGUAACGAUGCGACGUCAAUAUUACUAAAUACUCGAAGCGCGAUAAAAUCAUGAGUUUUUUUGCACGACGUGGGCACAUGUGCUAUACGAACGAUGGUAUUUUUUCAUAAUUUUUGGUGAUGGAGAAGUAUCCGAAAAAUUCCCUCUACGCGGAUUGCCCUUCGCGCGUCUACGGCUGUGGCCGGCGGCCUCCGGGGGCUAGCAUGCCGCCAAAUCUUGCGUAGGCGGCCUCUCACAAGUCUGGAAGUGUUGUGGCGGUUGCAAACGCCCAGCACGCGUGUCCGGGGUGUGCCCCCCCCCUCACGGACGGCGCUACCGCUGGCACCUGGAGGGGAGAAACGGACGCGUGGGGUCUACACGGAGGGGAUCUUGCUGUGGGUCUGGCCCGGAUGUUGCUCCAAAGUGUUCCUAUGGCUAACCUAACACAACCGGGUGGGGAGGUCCACUGGUCAAAGCCCCGUCUGUGCAAAGUCAAAGGGUUAGAUCUCGUGGUCAAACGCUACAGGGUUAGGCGGGACGGGGGCACUGGGGGUAGCAAUGCCACCGGAGCGUCGCACCGGGCCCUCAUACAUGCGGGGUGGUGUGGUGGCAUGUCCGAAGAGGCGGGACGCGUCUCCGGUGCGUGGCCCCCCCCUCACGGACGCGAAGACACGGUAGUAGACAUUCUGCGGUAAUGAUGCGGCGUCAAUAUUACUAAAUACUCGGAGCGCGAUAAAAUUAAGAGUUUUUUUGCACAACGUGGGCACAUGUGCUAUAGGAACGAUGGUAUUUUUUCACAAUUUUUGGUGAUGGAGAAGUAUCCGAAAAAUUCCCUCUACGCGGAUAGCCCUUCGCGCGUCUACGGCUGUGGCCGGCGGCCUCCGGGGGCUAGCAUGCCGCCAAUCUUGCGUAGGCGGCCUCUCACAAGUCUGGAAGUGUUGUGACGGUUGUAAACGCCCGGCACGCGUGUCCGGGGUGUGCCCCCCCUCACGGACGGCGCUGCCGCCGGCACCUGGAGGGGGGAAACGGACGCGUGGGGUCUACACGGAGGCGAUCUUGCUGUGGGUCUGGCCCGGAUGUUGCUCCAAAGUGUUCCUAUGGGCUGACCUAACACAACCGUGUGGGGAGGUCCACUGGUCAAAGCCCGUCCGUGCAAAGUCAAAGGGCUAGAUCCCGUGGUCAAACGCUACAGGGUUAGGCGGGACGGGGCACUGGGGGUAGCAAUGCCACUGGAGCGUCGCACCGGGCCCUCAUACAUGCGGGGUGGUGUGGUGGCAUGUUCGAAGAGGCGGGACGCGUCUCCCGUGCGUGGUCCCCCCUCACGGACGACGAUGACACGGUAGUAGACGUUCUGCGGUAACGAUGCGGCGUCAAUAUUACUAAAUACUCGGAGCGCGAUAAAAUCAAGAGUUUUUUUGCAAGACGUGGGCACAUGUGCUAUAGGAACGAUGGUAUUUUUUCAUAAUUUUUGGUGAUGGAGAAGUAUCCGAAAAAUUCCCUCUACGCGGAUUGCCUUUCGCGCGUCUACGGCUGUGGCCGGCGGCCUCCGGGGGCUAGCAUGCCGCCAAAUCUUGCGUAGGCGGCCUCUCACAAGUCUGGAAGUGUUGUGACAGUUGCAAACGCCCGGCACGCGUGUCCGGGGUGUGCCCCCCCCCCUCACGGACGGCGCUGCCGCCGGCACCUGGAGGGGGAAAACGGACGCGUGGGGUCUACACGGAGGGGAUCUUGCUGUGGGUCUGGCCCGGAUGUUGCUCCAAAGUGUUUCUAUGGGUUGAACUAACACAACCGGGUGGGGAGGUCCACUGGUCAAAGCCCGUCCGUGCAAAGUCAAAGGGCUAGAUCCCAUGGUCAAACGCUACAGGGUUAGGCGGGACGGGGGCACUCGGGGGGUAACAAUGCCACUGGAGCAUCGCACCGGGCCCUUAUACAUGCGGGGUGAUGUGGUGGCAUGUCCGAAGAGGCGGGACGCGUCUCCAGGGCGUGCCCCCCCCUCACGGACGGCGAUGACACGGUAGUAGACGUUCUGCGGUAACGAUGCGACAGAGGUGGAACGUNNNNNNNNNNNNNNNNNNNNNNNNNNNNNNNNNNNNNNNNNNNNNNNNNNNNNNNNNNNNNNNNNNNNNNNNNNNNNNNNNNNNNNNNNNNNNNNNNNNNNNNNNNNNNNNNNNNNNNNNNNNNNNNNNNNNNNNNNNNNNNNNNNNNNNNNNNNNNNNNNNNNNNNNNNNNNNNNNNNNNNNNNNNNNNNNNNNNNNNNNNNNNNNNNNNNNNNNNNNNNNNNNNNNNNNNNNNNNNNNNNNNNNNNNNNNNNNNNNNNNNNNNNNNNNNNNNNNNNNNNNNNNNNNNNNNNNNNNNNNNNNNNNNNNNNNNNNNNNNNNNNNNNNNNNNNNNNNNNNNNNNNNNNNNNNNNNNNNNNNNNNNNNNNNNNNNNNNNNNNNNNNNNNNNNNNNNNNNNNNNNNNNNNNNNNNNNNNNNNNNNNNNNNNNNNNNNNNNNNNNNNNNNNNNNNNNNNNNNNNNNNNNNNNNNNNNNNNNNNNNNNNNNNNNNNNNNNNNNNNNNNNNNNNNNNNNNNNNNNNNNNNNNNNNNNNNNNNNNNNNNNNNNNNNNNNNNNNNNNNNNNNNNNNNNNNNNNNNNNNNNNNNNNNNNNNNNNNNNNNNNNNNNNNNNNNNNNNNNNNNNNNNNNNNNNNNNNNNNNNNNNNNNNNNNNNNNNNNNNNNNNNNNNNNNNNNNNNNNNNNNNNNNNNNNNNNNNNNNNNNNNNNNNNNNNNNNNNNNNNNNNNNNNNNNNNNNNNNNNNNNNNNNNNNNNNNNNNNNNNNNNNNNNNNNNNNNNNNNNNNNNNNNNNNNNNNNNNNNNNNNNNNNNNNNNNNUCUUCGGACAUGCCACCACACCAUCCCGCAUGUAUGAGGGCCCGGUGCGACGCUCCGGUGGCAUUGCUACCCCAGUGUCCCCGUCCCACCUAACCCUGUAGGGUUUGACCACGGUGUCUAGUCCUUUGACUUUGCACGAACGGGCUUUGACCAGUGGAUUUCCCCACCCGGUUGUGUUAGGUCAGCCCAUAGGAACACUUUGGAGCAACAUCCGGGCCAGACCCACAGCAAGAUCCCCUCCGUGUAGACCCGACGCGUCCGUUUCCCCCUUCCAGGUGCCGACGGCGGCGCCGUCCGUGAAGGGGGGCACACCCCGGACACGCGUGCCGGGCGUUUGCAACUGCCACAACACUUCCAGACUUGUGAGAGGCCGCCUACGCAAGAUUUGGCGGCAUGCUAGCCCCCGGAGGCCACCGGCCACAGCCGUAGACGCGCGAAGGGCAAUCCGCGUAGAGGGAAUUUUUCGGAUACUUCUCCAUCACCAAAAAUUAUGAAAAAAUACCAUCGUUCCUAUAUCACAUGUGCCCACCUCGUGCAAAAAAACUCAUGAUUUUAUCACGCUCCGAGUAUUUAGUAAUAUUGACGCCGCAUCGUUACCGCAGAACGUCUACUACCGUGUCAUCGCCGUCCGUGAGGGGGGGCCACGCCCCGGAGACGCGUCCCGCCUCUUCGGACAUGCCACCACACCACCCCGCAUGUAUGAGGGCCCGGUGCGACGCUCCGGUGGCAUUUCUACCCCCCAAGUGCCCCCGUCCCGCCUAACCCUGUAGCGUUUGACCACGCGAUCUAGCCCUGUGACUUUGCACGGACGGGCUUUGACCAGUGGACCUCCCCACCCGGUUGUGUUAGGUCAGCCCAUAGGAACACUCUGGAGCAACAUCCGGGCCAGACCCACAGCAAGAUCCUCUCCGUGUAGACCCGACGCAUCCGUUUCCCCCCUCCAGGUGCCGGCGGCAGCGCCGUUCGUGAGGGGGGUACACCCCGGAGACGCGUGCCGCCUCUUCGGACUUGCCACCACACCAUCCCGCAUGUAUGAGGGCCCGGUGCGACGCUCCGGUGGCAUUACUACUCCCCCACGGCCCCCGUCCUGCCGUGUAGGCCUCACGGGCGUGGGUGCCGCCGUGUCCCGGAGUGGGGAAACGGCCACAUCGGGCCGACACGGAGGGUAUCUUUGGGUGGUUUGGGCCGGAAUGGUGUUGGGGGGUGCAACACAUGCCGUAACAAAAAAAUAAAAAAUAAAAAAAAUGCCGUAACAAAAAAAUAAAAAAAUGCAAAGUAUCUAUGCCGACGGCUUAGCCGUCGGCAUAGCAGCGCACAUGUCCACGGAUCAAUGACGUGGCAAAGGGGCGGGCCUAUGCCGAAGGCCAGGCCGUCGGCAUAGGGCCGACCUUAUCCCCUUGCGGUUCGCCCCCACCACCCAUUCGCCAUCCAUCUCCCCUUCCUCCCCGACNNNNNNNNNNNNNNNNNNNNNNNNNNNNNNNNNNNNNNNNNNNNNNNNNNNNNNNNNNNNNNNNNNNNNNNNNNNNNNNNNNNNNNNNNNNNNNNNNNNNNNNNNNNNNNNNNNNNNNNNNNNNNNNNNNNNNNNNNNNNNNNNNNNNNNNNNNNNNNNNNNNNNNNNNNNNNNNNNNNNNNNNNNNNNNNNNNNNNNNNNNNNNNNNNNNNNNNNNNNNNNNNNNNNNNNNNNNNNNNNNNNNNNNNNNNNNNNNNNNNNNNNNNNNNNNNNNNNNNNNNNNNNNNNNNNNNNNNNNNNNNNNNNNNNNNNNNNNNNNNNNNNNNNNNNNNNNNNNNNNNNNNNNNNNNNNNNNNNNNNNNNNNNNNNNNNNNNNNNNNNNNNNNNNNNNNNNNNNNNNNNNNNNNNNNNNNNNNNNNNNNNNNNNNNNNNNNNNNNNNNNNNNGUCCCCGCCCCGACCUCCAUCGACCCCGCCCCGGCAGCCACUUCGUUCGUGCCUGCCCCUCCGCCGCCUGCUCUGGCCCAUUGUUCGUGCCUGCCCCUUCCCCCGAGCCGGCCCUCCCCCACGGUGAGCUCCCUCCCUCCCUCUCUGUAGAUUUUUUUGAUAAUUUUGUUGUUGUUCAUAGUUAUGUAACUAGAUGGAUGGAUGCAUAGUUAGUUGAUAAAUGAUUUGAUGAUAUUUACAAAUGUGAGAAAUGCAAGAAAAGCAAUUUUUUUAACAAGGGGCAUGACGUUAGAUGAUAGAUUUUUUGAUGAUAGUUGCAAAUGUAUGAUGAUUGUUACAUGAUAGAUGAUGAUGUUAAUGAUGAUAGAUGAUGAUGUUGAUGAUAGAUAAUGAUUUUUUUGCGGAAGAGAUGAUAUAGGAUGUUGAUUUUUAUGAUUCGAUGAUUGUUAGAUGAUGAUGAUGAAUAUAUUGUGAUGUACUUAAUUAUUGUCACGGUGCAGGUUCUGUGGUGUUCCAUCUCAGUGGAGUGAUCGUCGUAGGAGUUGUUGGUCCCCGGUUGUCCCUCCGGUGUUCGGCUACUUCCUCUACAGCCGAGGGUGAGCUACGAAUCAUGUGACUAGAUUUCAUUCUCAAGUCAACUGACGUAACCUAGGCGUCUCCCGUUCGAAAGGGUUGCAUCGAUAAAUAUGCAUUCAAUUGCAUAUUUAUCACUGCAGCUCUUUCGGAUUGUCCAGCGUUUUCCAUGGACAGCCCGAGAAUGUGUAGAUUGGGUAUGUUCUCCAUGUUCUACCCCAUUCCAAGACAGGAUUUCGGCGGCGCCUCCCCAUUGUUCUCCGGAGCACAUUCUCUCGGCUAUUUGCCGAGACGUGUAUCUGGAGAACAGCGGGGAGGUGCUGCCGAAAUUUUUAUCUCGGAACGGGGUAGAAUGGAGAACGUACUCAAUCUACACAUCCUCGGGUGGGAUUAGGACCCAUCUUUACCUACUGGAGAUGUAGGUGGAUUAAAUGCGGUAGAAACUGAAAAUUUGAUGUGAUUAAUUUAAGUGAAUCCUUAAUUAUGUUGUGUGGGUUGCAAAAAAGCAGAGGAUGGCAGAUAAUUAGUGGAUGUACAGUGGUUUUAUCCGUCGGAAUCGAGUAACAUCAGAGUGGAUCACGAAAACCGAUGUGUAUUUGAAGGAGAUAUUCCGUCAUCCAAUGAGAAUUAUCCCACCAUGCCCCUAUGCGAGAUGUGCUAGACGUCACCGUGGAAAUCAGACGGACAUGAGUGAGCACCUUGGCACGCACGGAUAUAUGCCAAACUUUGACAUGCCGUCGAUAAACAUAGCCGAGCAGGACCAUGGUAGAGAGGAGGUGAUGCGACAACGCAUCGAUGGAUAUGAGGACGACGCGGUCAGGGACAUGCUAGAUGAUGUCAUUGUUGUAGAAACGGCAAAUGCGACACCUUCAGAGAAUGAACCGGAGGAGCCGGAGGCAACCGCAAAGGCCUUCUUGGAGGUCUUGGCCUCGUCGAAGAAACCUCUUUAUGCGGGGGCGAAAAUAUCUCAGCUGGAUGCCAUCUCGCAACUGAUUGCAGUCAAGGUUGAGUACGGCUGUAGCCAGAAAUGCUUCGAAGCAUUCCUGGGAGUAUGGGCUAACAACCUCCCUGAGGGUCAUGAACUGCCGAAAAGCAUGUACGAUACAAAGAAAAUCAUGAAGGCACUCUCUAUGGAUUAUGAGAAAAUAGAUGUUUGCCCGAAGAAUUGCCUUUUGUUUAGGCACGAGUAUGCGGAUGACAAGUACUGUAGGAAGUGCGGUUCGUCUCGGUACAUUGAGGUGGUCGGUGAGGAUGGUGAGUAAAAGCAGCUAACCAUCCCCGUUAAGGUUCUUCGGUAUCUUGAUUUUAUAAAAAGACUGCAGCACCUUUUCAUCACGAAGGAGUCUGCCAAAAUGAUGAAGUGGCACAAGGAAGGUAUAAGGUACAAUCCAAAAAAAAUCGUACAUCCAUCGGGAGGGGAAGCAUGGAAGUCAUUCGAUAAAGAAUACCCCGAGGAAGCAGCCGAGGCUGGGAAUGUCAGAAUAGCCAUAUCAGGUGAUGGGUUGAAUCCAUAUGGUAUGUCGUCCAAUCCAUACAGCUGCUGGCAUGUGUUUGUAAUUCCGCUCAAUCUUCCUCCCGGUGCCCUAAUGCAACGGAAGACCAUGUUCUUGUCGCUCAUCAUUCCGGGGCCUGACUACCCGGGGAAGCAAUUGGGUGUGUUUAUGCAGCCGCUUGUGGAUGCUUUGCACCAUUCUUGGUACUUUCCGAGGUUGACAUACGACCGGGAUCUGCAGAGAAAUUUCUUGAUGAAAGUUUGGUUGCACUAUUGCAUGCAUGACUUUCCCGGCUAUGCUCUAUUCUGCGGAUGGUGUACAAGUGGUAAGAUGCCAUGCCCGGUGUGCAUGCAGGCUCUGCGAAUGAUUUGGCUGAGUAAGGGUGGCAAGUAUGUAGCCUUUGACCUGCAUCGACAGUUCCUCCCUCCAGACCAUACAGACAGGGAAGACAAGAAGAACUUCAUGAAAGGCCGGGUUGUUCAUGAAGUAACCGAGAUUCCAACAUUUUUGGGGGCAGAUGUUCUUGCUCAGCUAAAAGCUCUCAAGCCUAAAGUCAAAGACAAAGGCAAAGCCAAAGCCAAAGGCUUCGAGGGAUAUGGUGAGACGCACAACUGGACGCACAUUACCCCCUUCUCGCAGCUUCCCUAUUUCAAGGACCUCAAACUUCCUUACAAUAUUGAUGUGAUGCACACCGAAAAGAAUGUGGCAGAGUCCCUUUUCCACACGAUCCUCAACAUUCCUGAUAAGACGAAGGAUAACGUAAAAGCUAGAGCCGAUCAACAGAGAAUUUGUGAUAGACCACGCCUGAACAUGAAGCCUCCCACAGGCGGUCGAAAAAACUGGUUCAAGCCAGAUGCUGACUUUGUCCUUAAACCGCCAGAAAAAAAAAGAAGUACUUAUCUGGCUGAAACAAAUUUUGAAGUUCACCGAUGGUUAUGCAUCGAAUAUAAGUAAGGGAGUUAAUCUUUCAACGGGCAAAGUGACCGGCCUGAAGAGUCAUGACUACCAUGUAUGGAUUGAGCGGAUAAUGCCGGUGAUGGUUCGACACUAUGUCCUCGAGCAUGUCUGGCGAGUGCUUGCCGAGCUUAGCCAUUUCUUCCGCACACUCUGUGCUAAAGAAGUAAGUAAAGAGGUGAUUGAAAAAUUGCAUAAGAAGGCACCGGAGUUGAUAGUCAAGCUAGAGAAGAUCUUUCCGCCAGGCUUCUUUACUCCGAUGACACAUCUCAUUCUGCACCUCGCGAACGAGGUAUUGUUGGAGGGCCCUGUGCAAAAUCGCUGGCAGUACGGCCCUGAGAGGCAGAACAAGCAUCUCCGAUGGAAAUGUGGAAACAAAGCUAAGAUUGAAGCUUCCAUAGCUGAGGCAGUUAUCCUAGAGGAGGUGUCAGACCUCAGGACAUCAUACUAUCCAGACCAUGUUCCCCAUCUGCAUAACAAGGUGCCUCGAUACAAUAUAGAAGAGCCCAAGUAUCAACCCAGGCUCGAUCUAUUCAACGCGCAAGGUGGGAGGGCUGGGGCCUCGAAAUCUUAUAACAUGCCACGACAAGAGUGGGAGGACCUCAUGUUCUAUAUCUUGCACAACAUCAAGGAAGUUGAGGAAGUGUGGAUGAGGUAAUACCACUACACCAUUCCUUUAUGUCUUCCACAUCAUCAUGUUUCAUGUUCACUUAGUCCCGGUCUAACACCGCUUAUCUUUUUUUAGUGAUUUCGUUCAAGAGGAAUGGAUGGGAGUGAAUCCUCCUACUGAGGCGGGGCACUUACUCUUCUCCGUCAUGGAAACCCUGGACGUAAAAAUUUUGUUGCUUGGUUCAUGGAGAAAGUAAUUUUCCACACUCCCCUAUUAAAUACCUACUUCAACAUUUAUUAGUUAACCAAAUUAAUGCAAGCAACAAUUUCCAUUAUACUUGUAGGGAAAAGAUCCGAACAUAUCUAUGGAUGAUGAAUUGAGAUGGGUUUCCAUGGGUUUUGACCCUGCCGUCAUGACAUGUAAAAAGUAUGAUGUGAAUGGGUAUCGCUUCCAUAUAGAGGAGCACCAAAACAGCCGCCCCGAUCCCAAAACUAUAAAUACUGGAGUGUACACCCCCGGUCAAAAUUCAGUAGACUACUACGGAAGGGUACAAAAUAUAUACGAGGUUAAAUUCCGCCGGGGGCGUGAGACCCUAAGUCUGCCUGUGUUCAAAUGCCGAUGGUUCGAUCCGUGGGAGGGGGUAAAACAUACGCCUUCCAUUGGUUUGGUCAAAGUUAAACCAUCAACCAUCUAUGCCAGAGCCGAUCUCUUCAUUGCGGCUACCCAAGCUACACAAGUAUAUUAUCUGCCUUACCCAUGCCAGAAAGUGUAUCUAAAGGGUUGGGAAGUUGUGUUCAAGGUGUCGCCACAUGGUAAGCUACCAGACCCGAAUGAAGACGAUUACUACAACAUUAACCCCAUGACAUACGAGGGAGUGUUCUAUCAAGAGCAACCUGAUGAUGAUGAUGAUGAUGAUGUGGUUAGAAACGAUGACGCUAGACCAUUGGGUGAUGAUGAUGUGGACCCAAACGUCGACGAUGCACGGAAUGAUGGUGAGACCAUUGUCAAUGAAAAUGACAUACUUAUGCUAGAAAAGUUAAACGAAGACGUUGACGACGAGGAAGAGCCUCCACCUCCGUCGGACAAUGAAGAUGAUAUGAUUGAUAGUGAUGAUGAGACGGACCGAGAAAGAGGUUACAACAGUGAUGAUUCAUAUGGGUUCUAGCAGAUGUACGUUUCAAGUAUUUUUUUCUAUAGUUUAGGAAUAUGCCUUUUUAUGCCUUUUUAUUAAUGUGUUUAUUAUCAUGCCUUUUCCUUCAUUUCAUUAAUUUACUAAUUGCUUUUUAUCUUUUCAAUGCAGGUUCGUGGAACAUGGGCAAGGGGAAGGCCGACGGCGUGGGUUUCCUACGCAAGGUCGUCGGCCUGCCUAGUCGGAGUGGUCGAGCAGGUAAUCCUCCCCCUCGGCUACUUGACGAUGACUCCUCACAGGGAGGUCGAGGGAGAGGUGCCCCUAGAGGAGGAGGGGCGGGGGGAGAGCCUCUAGAGGACGAGGUGCUGGGGGAGAGCCGCUACAGGGGGUCGCGGCCAGAAAGAGCGCACCCUCACCGACUUAGGGGUGUUGUCUUCGAGGCCCUCCUCUAGUGAGGUACACUCUAGGGAGGAGGAGGAGGAGGAGGUGGUGGUGGAGGAGNNNNNNNNNNNNNNNNNNNNNNNNNNNNNNNNNNNNNNNNNNNNNNNNNNNNNNNNNNNNNNNNNNNNNNNNNNNNNNNNNNNNNNNNNNNNNNNNNNNNNNNNNNNNNNNNNNNNNNNNNNNNNNNNNNNNNNNNNNNNNNNNNNNNNNNNNNNNNNNNNNNNNNNNNNNNNNNNNNNNNNNNNNNNNNNNNNNNNNNNNNNNNNNNNNNNNNNNNNNNNNNNNNNNNNNNNNNNNNNNNNNNNNNNNNNNNNNNNNNNNNNNNNNNNNNNNNNNNNNNNNNNNNNNNNNNNNNNNNNNNNNNNNNNNNNNNNNNNNNNNNNNNNNNNNNNNNNNNNNNNNNNNNNNNNNNNNNNNNNNNNNNNNNNNNNNNNNNNNNNNNNNNNNNNNNNNNNNNNNNNNNNNNNNNNNNNNNNNNNNNNNNNNNNNNNNNNNNNNNNNNNNNNNNNNNNGCGAGGAGGAGGAGGAGGAGGAGGUUGGAGAGGAGGUUGGGGAGGGGGAGGCAGGCGAGGAGGAGGGUGGUGGCGGGGAUGAUGGUGGUGAUGGGAAGGGGGUUGACAAGAAGUGGUGGCUGCGUGGUAACGCAAAGCUACCAAAGCAGGUUCCGGCUACUGAGGAGCAGAAGUGGCUCAUUGAGCCCACGGGAAAAGAGUAAGUGGUUCAUUAUUUUGCUUGUCACAUGCUUAUUCUGGUUGUUCUUUAUUUUGCUUGUCACAUGCUAAUAGUUCGUUCUUUUGCAGCAACUGGAUAUAUUCUAAAGGGGUCCGUAUUCCCAACGGCCUCAUCACCGUCUUGCUGAAGUUAUACUGGUCGGGGUUGUACUGUCCGGAUCCAGUCAGGCAGCUGGCUCGUCGGGUUUUGGCCACGAGCUGGGACCACUGGGAAGCGGCCCGCUACGCGGACCAUGAGACCCAUGCCAAGGCCGUGAUCACUACUUUCUGGGUGAGUUCUCUUCAGAAGAACAAGUCCAUUCUAGUUUCAUGAAAAUGAUUUAACUCGUGGCUUCUUCCAUUCUUAUUUCAUGCAUGAUUGUAGAAAUUCUAUCGAGUUCUUCCGGAGCACAGGGCUAGAGCGGACCAGAUCGUGCUGCGACAAUGCAAGAAGAAGGCCCGCCAGAUGCAGUACGAGGUGCGCUAUGUGGCCAUCUCCACAUACUACCACGACUAUCUUGGUGUGAAGAUGACCAAGGAAGAAGCGCGGAGGAUGGGCAUUACCUUGGAGAGGCCCGAGUUCUUGGCGGUAAGUAUAAAAGAUUUUUCAUUAUGCUUUCAUAUAUUAUGCUUUCAUUAUGCUUUCAUUACCUUGUGGUACAUUAUGCUUUAUGCUUUAUGCUUCCAUAACAUCAAUUUGGACACACCUACAUGCCAUUAUGCUUUUAUUAUGUAGGUGUGUCCAAAUUGGUGUUAUGGAAAAGACGAGUCCUGGGCGGCAUUGGUGGAUCUUUGGUGUGAUGAGGCUGGAGCCUGGGCGGCUAUGAGAACCAAAAAUAAGGCUAACCGAGGGACGGAGGGAGUACAUGCUCAGGGAAACCGAAACCACUAUCUCCACAAGGCAGUUAAUGUAUGACUAACCCCAUUAAACAUUCUUCUUCUUCUAUUUACCAUCACUUUCUUAUGUAUGACUAACCUCUGUUUGGUGGUGCAGGAGGAGAAACUGAAGCGGCCGCUCUCACACAUGCAGGCGUGGGAGAUCGCCCAUACGCGGAAGGACCCCAAGCCUGGCGAGCCCAAGUACUACGGCAAGAAGACCACAGGGAGGAAGAAGGCCUACUCCGAAGCGUAUCUGAAGUUACAUCCUGACACACCUGACCCUAUUGCGGCGCCUCUGAAUGACAUGGCGGUGGUGAGGAUGGGGCCCAAGGAGCACGGUCGGGAGGCGGUUCUCGAUGCUGUGAUCGCUCCUAGUAUCUCCUACACACAGCUUCGUCGGAUCGACCCGAGCCUGAGCCAGCGCACGAGCCAGCCAGUGACCAGUACACAGUCCCUCUUUCAGGAGCAACAAUCUGUAAGUAUUUUCCCUCUUAUCUUCAUUGCUCACUUUAUUUUCCGCAUUUAGUAGUUUUAUGAGUUCCAUCAUGUCAUACCGUAGGCCUACCUGGAGUACACACGCCAGGAGACCAUGGCGUGGCAUCAGAGGCUUUAUGAACACCAAGUGUAGAGGGAUAGCCAGAUGCAGCAGGCUUUUCAGGAUAUGGCGGCCGGCAGGUGUCCUCAGUUCCCUCCAGCACAAUGCCCUCCAGCACAACCAGUGCUGAUGAGCUUUGAGGAGUUUGUGGCACAGAACGUUGGCCCCUCGCCGGUUAGUUCAUCCCCAAUCUAUUCACCCAAAGCAUGUCAUGCCUUUCAACACAAUCAUAUAUCCCGUGCAUAUGUCUUUUCAACAUCCAGGAAACAGGUGGAUCUACCGUUGGCGGUGGUCUUCGUAGCACUCCGGAGACACGGAGCCCGACCACUCCUAUCCACGGAGGCGGAGGCGGAGGUGGAUGCGGAGGCGGUCUUGGCGGUAGCGCUGCCGCUAGCAGUGACGACCUGGGCUUCGGCCGUCUUGGCGAUGACGACCUCCGCGGUGCUCGAUGAUCCUUGUGUGUGGUGAUGAUGCUUGAGAUGACUUGUGUGUGGUGAUGAUCAUUUAGAUGACUUGUGUGCUUCUCUAUAUGCUUAUGCUUAUGUUGGUUGUGAUGAUGUUCAUUUAGAGACUUGUGUGUGAUGAUGCUUAUGCAUAUAUUGUUGUGAUGGUGUCGGAUGAUAUCCCGUUGUGUUUUAUAUGUCUAUCCCAUCAUAUAUAUCUGCUCAUAUGUGCUGUUAUUUGAAUUGAAUUGAUUUGAAAACAAACACUAAAAAGAAAAAAAAAGAAAAAGCAAACUAUGCCGACGGCUAGGCCGUCGGCAUAGGGCUAGUGUGAGCUCCCAGUAGCUGACACGUGGCACCUAUGCCGACGGCCUAGCCGUCGGCUUAGUUUAUGUGCCGACGGCUAGACCGUCGGCAUAGGCGCCCAUGUGUCAGCUACUGGGAGCUCUGUAUGAAGGACUAUGCCGACGGCCCAGCCGUCGGCAUAGCCCUGGUCCACGAGCAGCGGUUGGUCGCCACGUGGCACACCUAUGCCGACGGUCGAGCCGUCGGCAUAGUUUUUGACUAAGCCGACGGCUAGGCCAUCGGCAUAGGGGUGCCACGUGGCGACCAGUCGUUGGGCAGACUUGACGGCAGCCGCCGUUAGGCGUGAUAGUUGCCGACGGCCGCGGCCAUCGGCAUAGAUGUACGGCCCCCGUCGGCGUAUCAUAUAUGCCGACGGCUUUUCUAUGCCGACGGCCUCCCUGGCUGUGCCGACGCAUAUGUUGCCGAUGGCCCUAUGCCGACGGGGGCCGUCGGCAUAGGUCUAUCCCGGCGGGACUCAGGCCUAUGCCGACGGCCCUGGCCGUCGACAUAGGGGGCGAUUCCGGUAGUGUUUAUACCUCACGCUGGCAUCUGAACCCUUGCAUAGUUCGCUCUCCCUUGGUGUUAGUAUACGAGUCAUCACUCCUUAAGCUGAACCCAACGACCCUUGAAUAUAAAUUGUAGAACUGGUAACCUUCGCUUGCUGAACCAAAUAUCAUGCCUACUUCAGGCUUGAACAAGGUUACUGUUUUAUCUUUACUGUAUGCUCUUAUAGACUGCUCCAUUAAAUUUGGUAUUCUCUUCUCUCCGAAAAGAGUAGUUAUACCAUCUGGAUGCAUUUUUCUAAGGAUGUGCAAGGUGUGAUUUAAUAAUAAGUGAAAAACAGGAAUUAGCAUCAAGGACUUUAUGUUGAUCAACAAACCUGUAGCAGUGUGAUUUGCUUGAAGCAUCAUCAUCAUCGUUCUCUACAGCCAUUGAAGAAAAACUACGUAUAGUGGAUGUUUGGUUAGCUGAAGAGGCACAUAACAACUCUCUAUUUUGGUCAUUUUCGAUUAGGGAGGCUGGAUCAUCUUUGUUAUCCUGGAUACAACAUGAUUUAUGGUUGUGUUCCAACCUGCAGACAUUAAAAUAGUUAAGCAUACAUCCGGAUUUACAUUAAGUUAUAUUUAAACGAUAUAUUUUGACAUAUGGAGAAAUAUAGCUUGCCUGGAAUAGUCUGAAUCAUUUGAGUACUCUUCUUCAUCUGAAUUUAUUGGUACAGGUGAAUCUACCAAUGCUAUUUUCUCUUGACAAUCCCCACUGAACAGAUAAACAGAAUAUAUUAUUAUAAUAACAGAAUCUAAGUCGAUUUUAUAGAACAUUUCAAGUGCAAAAUAUUCCACACGCAUUGCUUAGAGUUAUACUUCACUAGCCUGGGCAAGUGUUCACCGUUAGAGUAAUUUAUUUCAUCCGGCUCGAUUGGCACUGUUGAAUCAACCAAAGCAUUGUUCUCUUCACACUGCACUCUGGAAAUGUUUAAAUGGUAGAGGAUAAUAAGAAAAAAGUAUUUAAUUGGAUUCAAGGAAAAGUUCAAAGAAAUUACCUCCCGAUAAUUGAGGGAUCUGCAACACGUAGCAGAUCCAUAAAAGAGCCACCAACAUCUCCGCCAAACACAUCCAUUGAAUUUAAAAGGGGAUAGAACUACACACGAUAGUUGAAGAUCUGUGCCAAUUUAAGUUCUUAGGUGACAUGCCAAAAAUGCUUAGAAGUGCUUAGUUGCCAGCUAGAAAAAAUACUACUUAGUUUCCAGAUUAAAAAGUUCUUAGUUGACAUGCUUAAAAACUGCUCACUUGCCGGGUUAAGUGAUAUGCUGAAAAUGCUUAGUUGACAGGCUAAAAAAUGCUCAGUUGCCCAUAUUAAUUAUAACUACUUGCCAAAAAAACUGAAAAAUCUAGGUAAGUGUACAACAAACACAAAUGGGGGCGCUGAGAGAAAAAGGCAGCACUAAUUACCGGCCGCUAGCUGAAUCCAUGAAAGCAAAAAAACACGCAUCGCUGAGAUGCAAAAAAGUCGGGGAUCCCCUGUGUCCAUCCGACCACCUCUUUCUCCUUCCCCCACUAUAGUGGCUCUUGCCCUUGAUGCCCAGCAGGGAGCAGAUCCCAUGCCCUCUCGGCCCCUGAUGGAUGGGGGAUUUGGAUGAGCUACAGAAAAAAUAGAAGCAAGCAUGGGAGGAGGAAGAAAUAAUAAAGAAAAAUAUGCAGUUCACUAGCGAUUGAACGGACGCCACGCCGCCGCACCGUAAGACACGCGUACGCACACUUCUGCUUAGUUUCCCAAAUAUACGAAAGGAAGGACAGAUCAAGAGCUAGUACAUAUAAAGACCAAAUUGAAAUAUCAUAGGUUGCAGCAGGGUUUGGAUCUAGAUAGAACUCGAAGAUUUCUAGCAGUAGACACGAACCUGAGAUCUUGUUUCGAUGUCCUCGGGCAUCAAACAAUACAUAAACACAGUGCUUCCUAAAUAAAUGGACGAGAUUUCUACACAGAGCUAUUCCAUGGUGGGUGAUGGGAGGAGGAAGAACGUCUCGCAGUCGCAGCAAUGGUGGAAUAAUGGUUCCGCCCAAAACGCGUUCUGGACAGGUAGCUAGAAGGGAGUGGCAUUUACGUUCUUGGGCUCAGAACAGUGUUUUAUCUGUUCCCCAUUAAUGCGUGUAUCUGACUAGGUUGGUGAGGUAUUGUACAGAACAACACCAAAAUAAAUGUUUUAGAAUAAUUUAGACUCUAAUCCAGGCGGGCAUCUCAGUGCCACAGUGAACGGCUGGAGCAUGCACUGGAGCUCCCGUGCAUGGGAGAAAAUCCACUCUCAGCUCUUGGGCUACCGCUACCCACGAGGAAACGUCCAGAGCUACAACUGUCGUUUUGUUUUGGCGAGCACUCAAUUCCUAGGGCAGUUCUGCAUGUGGCUCUCGUUGGAAAAGGAACGAAAAUGGUAGUACCAGUAACUGUUUGCCUCUAAUGUAGCAUCUGCGGGAAGUGAAAUGAGCCUACGGCGGCAGCACGAGCCACCGAGGUCCUCUCAGCAUCUCCGGGGUGCAGUGCAGAUCGAGAUGGGUGUUUAUGACAACGGGGCCGGCUAGCCAUGGCGAACUUGUCGACGGACACACUGGAGGGCACGGAGACGGAGGUGGUCAAGCUGGACCAUGUCUUGUGCGGUGGUGCCGGCCGGUGUUCGACGCCAGCACCCUGAGGGAUUGGUUGAGUUCGUCAUGGCUUCUUUUGUCAUGUUUUGUAGCAGUAUUUACUUUCUAGUUGCUCAUAUAUACUCCUAGAUGAGUAGAGAAUGCUACCCUCUCUGUAAACUAAUAUAAAAGCAUAUAGAUCACUAUUUUAAUAUUUUAAAUGCUUUUAUAUUAGUUUACGAAGGAAGUAUAAACGUUGGCACUACACUCUCACGGUACAACUAAAUGGCCACAUCAGUUGGCAUGUGAUGCUUGGUGAACAAUUGAUGUCCUAGCCACACAAAACAUUUCACUCGCUGCUCUUAUAUAUCUACCAGCUUCACCAUGUAGCAGUAUCACGUUUAGUUGCAACGGGAGAAUGCCGAAGUAUAGGGAGAGAGCAAUCGUUAUGGGCAAGCAAGGGGAAUGGCACCCGCGGUCACACAGCAUGAUCUAGCAGGGAAUGGGAUGUGUUGGCAAUUUCUUUCGAAGACAUGUAAAAACAGAGAAUCCAUGAAAGAGCACCGGAACUUGCAAGUGAAGAAAACCUUGCGGCUCAAUGUUGAUAAUUCCGUGCAUUUCAUCCUAGAGAGUUGAGCGGCUCUACGUUUCAUCAUCAGGCGACAUUAGUUGGUCGAGCUAAGCAUGAGCCCAGUCUUUCGAGUGUUAGGUUGAUCCCCUCCCGUUCGAACCCAACGGGUCGAACGGACCCCUGACUCGCGUCCUCAUUUGGGGGCGCCCAACCCUCAUAUGGUUGGUGGACCCCUGUGACCCGCGCUAUAUUAACAGAGGUGGGGGCCGGGGCACGGGAUAUGAAGUUCACCACCGCCACAAACCCUACCGAUAUUCCCUACCGAUCUAGGGUUAGUGCGGUGCUCACGGGAAGCAGCCACCACCUCGACGUCUCCCUGUCAUCGCCGUCGUCACCAUCCCACCAGGGCCAACGGCGGGAGCUCCUCAGGCCAAGGCGAAGGUAGGACUACAGGAAAGGACGUGGAGUUUCUACACCCAGGAGCAAAUGCUCCUGGUGUGAACAGUAAAAUCAAACAAAUUCAAAAACAAUUCAAAAAAUUCUGAAAUUUUUUUGUGCCAUACUUUCACAAAUGUUUGUUGUGCCUACAAAAUUUCAUCGCAAAAUCACAUUGAUGGAAGGCGUGGUAAAAAAAACAAAAUCGAUGCUCUGAAAAUGUUACUUACAAAAGCAUUUUGGAGCUCUGAUUUUGUUUUUUUUUUGACACGCCUUCUACCAAUGUGAUUUCGCAAUGAAAUUUUACGUGCACAUCAAACAUUUGUGAAAGUAUGUCACAAAAAAAAUUCAGAUUUUUUUGAACUUUUUUCUAGUUUUUUUAAUUUUACUAUUUAUACCAGGAGCAUUUGCUCCUGGGUGUAGAAAGGUACUUCCGUACGGGAAUUCACUAGCCUACUCUGAUCCAGGGGAUCUAACAAUGGUAUCAGACCAUGCUAGGCUAAGUUUUUCGAUACAAAGAAUAUACAGAGAAAGAAAGAUCNNNNNNNNNNNNNNNNNNNNNNNNNNNNNNNNNNNNNNNNNNNNNNNNNNNNNNNNNNNNNNNNNNNNNNNNNNNNNNNNNNNNNNNNNNNNNNNNNNNNNNNNNNNNNNNNNNNNNNNNNNNNNNNNNNNNNNNNNNNNNNNNNNNNNNNNNNNNNNNNNNNNNNNNNNNNNNNNNNNNNNNNNNNNNNNNNNNNNNNNNNNNNNNNNNNNNNNNNNNNNNNNNNNNNNNNNNNNNNNNNNNNNNNNNNNNNNNNNNNNNNNNNNNNNNNNNNNNNNNNNNNNNNNNNNNNNNNNNNNNNNNNNNNNNNNAGAGGAAAAGAAGGGCAAAGAAAAGUGCGCCGCCGCCGAGCUGCGCCGUUCCUCUCGAUCUCAAUGCGCAUCGGCAAGCCGAGUCAUCGAGAAGAAGAACAUCACCCCUUUUGGGGGCAGAGACCACGCGGUCGCCGACGCAGGGCGAGGAAUACCGCGAGUGGGUCGGCGAGGCCGUCCAUGGCCUUCUGUUGAGGAGCCCGACCUUGUCGGGCGGCAGGUCAGACGUGGCCUCGGUGCCCUCCGGCAGCCCCUCCACGGCCGGCAGCGGCAGCAGCACGAACCGGAGGCGGGAGGAUAGACCGGCCGGCAUGGGCGGGAGCCUGGCGAGAUUACGGGGCAUGGACACUACUGGAAAAAUCAUCAUUACCGAGUACAUUUCCUGAUUUCCGUUUGCCGAGUACUGGAACACUGGAUCACGGUAAAAACAACGUAAGCCGAGUGCGGUUCUCGACAAACGACAGGACACGGCACAUGGGAAGUACUGCCGAGCCCUGUGUUGGACGUACUUGGCAAACAAAAAGGAACUCGACUUAUGCAUAGUAUGCCGAGAACCUAGUGGAAAGCACCCCGCAAAUAUGAGCCAUGUGGCACGGCCAUUUGCAGCUGACGGCCCGGCGACCAUGUGCAAUGUUGGCCGAGACCCCGAUGAUAGGUACUCCGCAAUCUAUGAGGUAUUUAAACUACCCAAACCCUAGCCGCUGCUCACAUUGUAUUGACGAUUGGGGCAGGUCGCCGUUGUCCCUGUGUGGUUCCUCGCCGCCGCAGGGUCUAUACCCACCGGCCGUCGCCGAUCCAGCGUCGUCCGAGGCUGCUCGGACCCUUCACCGCACGCUCCGUCCCCCAAGCUCGUCGGCGGCCACAACACCGCCCUUACAACCUCGUCGUCGGACACCUUUUGUUGCCGGCCACCUCUACCACCUCGACGCACCAACCCCAAGGUGAGCUAGCUAGGGCCUCCCCUUUCGAAGGCACGUGCGGAGAUGCAUCCGGUUUGUGAAGGGGAUGUGGGGCCCGUUCCUCCAUUGGCCUUGAAACUUGUCGCGCUCGUGAGGUUCUAUUCAAAGGAACAUGCCAUGUCGUGGACUUUUUCGGGGGCCACCAGUCAUAUUCCAUGCAUUUCCAAGGGUUUAUGCAGGAAAUUCACUCUAGAGGGGAUAUUAACAUGAAUGCCUAGCAACCAAGCAAGAACAUCGUUCUAGUUCUCGUCUAAUCUAUAGAGCGACUCACAACAUAAUUGUUGCAGAGCGAAGCCAUGAAAAUUGGAACUAGCAAAUCAUCGAGAAUCGAAUCAAAUGGUCUUUCCGCACUUAAGAUGAUCACCGUUUGACCAUCAAUAAUCAAUUAAAAAUUCAAUGAUCUUUUGUACUCAAUUUUUUUGGUAAGUUACACAGAGGGUCUGGUGUCACGAUGUGUCUUUCGUUUGUCAUACUGAGCUGGAAAUCAAUCAACACGUCCACGUCGUUGGUUGAGUUCAUAGUGGCUUCUUUGUCAUGGCUUGAAGCAGUAUUCGCUUUAGGCUUGAUCAUAUAUAGAUGUGUGAUGAGCGCAACAAAUGCUGACAACUAUACCAUUUAUGGUAGAAUUGAAUGGCCACAAUGAUUGAUGGCAUGUGGUGUCUGGUGAAAAAAUGAUGUCCUGGCACACACAACGUUUCACUCCCUGUUCUUCUAUAUACACUAGAUGACCAGUUGCGCCAAUGGCGCAAAGGCCGAGAGCAAGCCAUGUAUUGUAAGAGUAUACAUUAAUAUUAUUCGGGCGUGAACAAACUGCAGAAUUAUAUAUAUGUAUACAAUCAGAACAACCAUAUCUGUAGCAAUAAAAUGGCAACACCAUAUCUGUAGCAAUAUAUGUAUGUAGUCUUAUAGGACCUUGUUCAACCAACCGGACUGAUGACAACCAACUAUGAGCUGGGACAACCGGUGUAAUAUAUGUAUGUAGUCUUAUAGGACCUUGUUGUAAAAGGCUCUCAAGUAUUUAAGAGCUUCAUGUGCCAAUCGAGCCUUCUUAGAGUUUUCCAUAGACAGAUGGGACAUUGAUUUCUUUGAAAGUACCUUGAAACAAAAGCAGAACAAAAGUACAGACAAUUCCAAGUCAAAUGUAAACAUACCAUAUGAACCGGAGAAAAUAGAUACCAAUGGAUUAAAUAAGCAAUGGAUGCAAAAAUAUGUGCUCUAGGGCUGAACUUAUUUAGAAAGCUAAUAACCGAACUAUAUGUGUGAGCUAGUAAUCUCUCCCAUAUAAUUUCAGAUAUACUGAAAAGGAAAUAUUCUACCUCAUAUCUUCUAUAAACCUCUAAAACAUAGGAAAGAGACACAAGAAUAUAUGACUUACCGAAGGAAUUUGGCGAACUUGCUUACGCUUUCAAUCUUUCAACAACUUUGAAGACCACAUACAUACACAUGGAUAAAAUCAUCACAUAUACAAUCAGAACAAAACCAUAUCUGUAGCAAUAAAAUGGCAACUAACAUGAGGUUGUGCUACCUGUAAAUAAAGCUAAGUAUUAAAGUUCCAACCAUUAGCUAGUUGCAUAAUCUAUAAGAGGCUGGAGUACAUAUGACGAUUCAAAGAAAUAGGGUAACUCUGUAAUAACAACAUGCCAGCAAAAGCUGAACCCAAGAACAAUCCCUAAAAAUCAAAAAAUAUUGUGCAUCUCUACUUUUCUUUGAUUCUUUUACAUCUCCUUUCAGAUUUUACUAUGAUUGAGGUGUGUUAAUUUGAUCAGUCAUACAGAACCAAAGAAAUGUAGGUGCCCUUAAUACUCAAAUAAGGAUAAAUUGGAGAGGUAAGAAUGAGCUCCUGGUAUUCAUUUUAGGUAUUAAGAAAUAAGCUAUUGAGAAUAUGUAAUGAAUAUAAAGAUGGUGAGGACUUCAAUAAACAUAAUGAACCUCAGAACCGGAAGGGCCAUUUUCAUUGGCAUGCCGAAAGAAAUGUUGUGAGCAAUUCUAACAUGCUAAAUCAGACUGACAUGUAUCGCCUACUUGCUAAUGACAUCUACUUUUGAGCUCUGAUGUAAGCAUGGUAAAACAGCUCAUAGUACAUAGAGUCUUGGAAGUGGGCUACAGGAGCAGUGCACAAGGAUGAUUGAAAUACCUAGGUAUUUAGUCACAGGAGCUUGUCCCUUGCCUUUCAUUGCGGAUAUAGGAUUGUUCAUCUAUUAAUCAUGUAAUAGUCAGACAAUGCAAAGGAGAGAAUGCAGGGAGAAAUAGUAACAAUCAUACAACGCAAAGCGUGUACAGGGCAACAAGAAUGCCUCUCAUCAGGACGCAUUAGGCAAAGGUAACUAAAUGGAAUACACAGAUGCCAAAAGCCAUGACUACAACAAUGUUAGAUUAGGCGGUGGCUGCAGCUGGUCAUUAGUAAUCAUUAUACAUGAGUACCUUAAAUCGAUUGAAAUAGAAGGAAAUGUAAGGUUAUUUACAUUGAUAUAUAUUGUUCAAAUGGACGAUCCACAAGGAAAGACAAAAAAAUUGUGAAGCAUGUCAUAAGUGGCACAAAAGCAUUGUAAACUUUGCUCGAGGAAAUUGUAUAUCUGAAGAAGUCCAUUACCCGAGUAUAACAUAAAUGAAGUUGGUGUUCAGUUUAAAUUUCUACCAAGCAAAUGUAAGGUGUUGAUGAAGCUGAAACAAAAUUAGGGGCAACAGCGAUUAAUUAACCGAUUAAUUAAUCCAUCCUGUAGUUUUCAGUUUUCACCAACUUGUCCAUCUAUCCAUAAGACUACAUGGAACUGAACCGAAGGUAAGGAUCUGAACCAAGAAUAGCAACGUAGACAAAAGCAAGAUUAAACAUCAUUCUUCAGUCCUCAAGGGUACAUGCAUUCUCCUUCCUGACUUCGGCUUCCUGCUCUGGUGUGUAGUGUUCUCUAAGAUCAGCUACUUCUUACACUCCCCCACUAAGUGAAUAGUAACAAUUUUAAGACGAUAAACCACACAGAUAAUUGGUUCCUAAUUAGAGCAGCUAAAGAAGCAAGUAGCUAACAUUAGUACAUAGAGUCUUGGAAGUGGGCUACAAUAUCAUGGCAAAAUCCAGGAGUACAUCAUUGCUUGUGGUUAGCAUAGUUCUCUCAAAAUUUUCAUGGCUGGUUUGCUACUACUUCCAAUUUUGUCUAUAUUGUAUUAAAUAAGACCCAUCAAAGCAUACCACAAAUGGUUUUCUGUGCAAAAUAAAUAGACCAAAAAAUGAAUGAAACAAAAUAAAUACACAGCCCCUUACGCAUAUAUGCAGAUGAAAGCUUCCAACAAUGAAAUAAUUCCUAGUUUAACCGAAAGGCAUUAGCAUAGGUGAGAACAAAUAUUUUCAGUGAGCUCUAACAAGAACAAAUGGCAGGACCAAGAACAACCUCCAACCGAGGAGAUGACAAGCCAGCAGAGCAAUAGACGAAGACCAAAGACCAGGUGAGAGGACAAAAGCAACCUGCGGCAGCAAAACAAAUGCCUUAGGAGGGUGAAAUAUGAACGAAAAGAGUGUAUAAUCAGCAAACUACAUAGACAAUAGGCUAAUUAUGCUUGCAAUCAGUAUAAAUAUAAUUAGCAACUACUCCCUCCGUCCGGAAAUACUUGUCGAAGGAAUGGAUGUAUCUAGACAUAUCUUAGUUUUAGAUACAUCCAUUUUUAUUCAUUUUUCCGACAAGUAUUUUAGGACGGAGGGAGUACUAUAUAUCCAUUACUUGAAUGGAAUCAUGAGCCAUUUUCAUGCAUCGUAAAUACGACGGCUGCCCCUCUUGACUCUUUUGUGCCUCAUCUCAUGACUAAUUCUACUAAUCAGUGACUUGGUUCAGUUGCUGUCUAAAUCAAGACAAUUGCAUGAAAGCACAACACAGUACAUCCUAAUGUAAGAUAUUUUAAGUUUUUAACUAAUACCAGCAAGCACCCUGUCAAUUUAUGAUUAUCUAAGAAAAACAACACGCCUGAAACACGGUAGGCACAUCAACUAAACUGAGGCACACAUAUCUGUCGGCACGGUGGCACAGUCACAUUUAAAGAAUUAAUAAUUAUGAAAAGCCUGUAAUGCAUGUCACAACUAUAAAUACUCUGUUCUCACCUAAAACUAUCAGAACAGAGACAAAUAAGAACAGAGUUGCCAAUAUAAAUGCAGGUCAAUGCAGAACACAACAGGUGAAUAUUUCCAACGACAAGCAAACAUAUCCGUCUAGCCCGACACAGCAUAUUCAACAUAUCAUACAACCACUUACGCAAAUAGUUACAUCAGUCUUUCAUAAAGUGGACUGGAAAUCAGGGAAAUAGACAUGGAAUAUUUCUCUAUAGCUACACGGUUUUGAAAUAUUUUUCUUCUUGAAGCUAACCAAGCCCGCUGUCCUUUUUUUAGCUGAAGAUAAAUCCGUCGGUUUGAAGUAGAAAAGCAAUGACUAAACCUAAAGAUCCAAGCGAAGGACCAUCUACUUUUUAUAACUAAUCAAUCCACCCAAACUAAAUUACUUUCUUACCUGUUUCAAUGGAACACAGUAAACAUUUUCCAUUGCACUCUUGCUCCAAGCUUACAAACCCUACAUAUUUUAGGUGCUGCAUCCCUCUGAUAUUGUUGCAUAGGUACUUAAACAGCAGCCUAGUAAGAAUACUGAUUGGCUAUAUUCAGGCUAAACUCUAAAGCAUUAAUCUAAGCCUCCACUUUGUGUGCACCUUCUCAUUAUAUUUAUGCUCAUUUAAUGGCAGUGCAACAUCCCAUUUUGAAUGCUAGCUAAGAAUACCCAACUAAUCAGACCUAUGAGAUUGUAAUAAAGAACAAUGAUGGUAGGUGAUCUGAUAUUAUAUUCGACUAAUAAUAAAAUAAGUAAGGAGAGCAGGGUAUGGAAAGACAGAUAGCCUAGAAAAGAAGCAUGCAGAGGAAAAUGCCAAAGAGAUACUAUCAUAAGCAAGGGCAUUUGAUGAAUUCAUUAAUUAGUCAAGCCAGUACGAAUAUACAUGACUGAAAAGAAUAUGUAUUUUGUAGUUUGAACAAAUGGAGUAACCAAGACAACAAUAACCGGGCGUACGGUCUAAAUUAAAUGAGCCAAUUUGAGGAAUUGUUAUCCUCCAAACAAUAUUCAGAUGAUUCUAUUUGCUAUGAUGAUAAUUCUGUACCUGCACAUUACUCGGCAUACCAAGUUCUCCAUUCGGGUUCUUCUCCGCAAGACACAUGAAUAUAUGAGCAACUAAUUUUCUUGGUCCUAUUUCUUCUUUCUCAUAUCUGCAAAUAUCAUGUUUAGGAAACCCACAUAUCUGCAAACGGGUCUUUGCCAAAUGUACAUGGUUUUAAACACGUACAUGCAAAAAGAGAUGGAAGCAGAGCACAUUGCACAAGCUUCCAGAGUUGCAGAAAGAGAGAGGGAGGGGAAGAAGGAUUGGGCGAAGCUCACCUUGAGUGUUGAAAUGUAUCAGCUUAAAAACCUUGAGCUGAGGAGCGAGAUAGGUGAAAAAACCAAUCCCGCCAGACAACCAUAUAUAUAACUCAGAUAUUAGAGUUCCCUGAUACAUCGGAUAUACAAAGCGCACUAAUCACUCAAAUUUUGGAAUUAUGAACCUCAGAGCAUGUGGUCAAUAUUGUUAGUUAUGGACAAAAGCGCAGUAGUGCAUCAAAGAAGUUACAGGUCCAGAAAUUACCAUUCAGAAAUGAGAAUUACAUAUUUAGGAGAGAACAUCUCAUCCCCAAAUGAACAACCAAUUUCAAUUAAACGGAUUGUGCAAAAGUAGGCAUAUUAGUAGAUCGGAAGUUUCAAGGAAUAAACAGUAGUACAAUAAUCUUGAUACUGAUUUAGCUAUGUAAAGCAGGAACAUAAAUUGCAUACCAAACAAGUUACUAAAGAAAAUGCACAACAAUAGAUGACCCGUUGUGCCCUGGCGCAAAAAGCGAGAGUGAACCAAAGCAUUCAAACUAUGCAAGUAAGAGUGGUUUAGAAAUUGAUUUGCGCCCCUGAUGCAAGUAGCCAAAGCAAACCAAGCAUUGGAACCAUUAUAAAAGUUGGUAUUUAUAUGGCAUCUUUAUACAUAAUCAGGCAUAUGUGGUUUAUUUCAAAUUUCAAUAGUAUGGAAAGAGAUACAUAGAUGGCAUAUUUGUCCAUCCUGAUAACAUCAUGGUUCAGGCAUACCUUGCAAGGAGAUACUUAGAUGGCCUCUUUAUACAUAAUUGGCCCAGGAAGAUGAAGGUAGACUAACGGGUCUUGGUUCUACAUUUGUGGAUGCUACUCUAUUGCAUCAUAUCAUACUUUCUGUCUUCAGCUAAAGCUCACUAAAAUCAUCCAUGUCUCUAAUUGAUAAAAUAAUCUGGCGUUUUUACCUCUCUGUUCUCUAAAGGAUACCUCUCUCAAUAAAAUACAUGAAAAAAGUGCAUAUAAGAAACAAUAUGUAACUACGGAAUCAAUUAGACGAGAAUGGCUUGAUAAGAAUGCACUACACCAAACAUAGCACACCAACUACAAUAAGCAAAAAUUGACCAUGCGACUCUCUGUAUUUGAUUUCAGUUAAUUAACUAUAAACUCCGCACCUAGCAAUGGAGAGCUUAUAAGUCGAAAGAAUUAAGCCUACUGGCCAUAAAGGUACAAGCAAAGACUGAAACAACUAAUUGAAACUCUUUCCUGUAGGCAUAGCACAACACACAUUUCUUAUUUCUUCAUUACUUCAUAACUGAAACCGAAGAAGAAAACAAGUUGGCAUUUUUUUUACCUACGACACUCACUCUCAACGAAUGAAGGGGGAAAACGUGUACAUAAGUAACAUAACAGGGAGGAGAAAAGAUUCACCAGUGUAGACUAUGAAGGAGAAGCUGCGAAAAACCCAGUCAAUCUGUUCCAUCCGAACAACGGUGGACACAAAUCCCACCUGCAACACAGACAUAAGAACCACAAAGCUUAGAAAUCUAGCAGUAAGAAUAAGAAUAACAAGACAAUCUGUAAGGAUAUCACAACCUCAGCAUGCACCCACAAACAUAAAUCAUCCAUCAUGUCGUCCCUCCUAAAGAAAUAUGAAGCACAGAAGAAGGGGAUAUGUCAGACCAAGAAAUAAAUCAUAUUCAUGAGUCAUGGUGUAAUUAGCAAUUGAAGUGGUCCAGAUAGUCAUGGAACAAUGAGUGAUAGCUCAUCUAUUAAUCAAAAAUGACAGGCAAAGAGCAAAAUAUACAACAAACAAGUCCAUGUUUUUUCUAUGGAAUAUUGUAGCUAAGAAAUAAGCGGAAUUAAAUCGCCACUGAUAGUCCGGUGUAUCUUCAAAGUGCAAUGAGACGCAAUAUUGGAAAUAAAAUGCAAAUUUAGUAGCAAAAAAAAUUCAGCAUUGAUGUGAAUUGUAGAAUUCUAAACAAGAUGCUAGCCUGGGAACAUCUUCGACUACAACAACGAAUUAUAGUCAGCUAAACAGAACACACACCCAUUUUCAGAAGUAAAAAGACAGAACCAUCUAAAAUAGAGAAACUUGGCAGCACACAUUAGUAAGAUUGUAAAAUGUUGAAAAACUUGGAUGUUGCUGUUGCAAAAUAAGUGUCACACAUUAGUUCUAAUGAUGUAUCACCUACUAUGGCUAUAAGAACUACUUUUAGCAUAGGCUGCAGCUUUGGAGAUGCAAAUUGUUAGAAAUACUAAUUAUAUCUAUAUAGAAGCAUUGAAGUUCGGCUGCAGCAUCGUAGACGAAUUAGUUCGGACCUCAAAGUCUCAAAAAGCAUAAUGCUUAUAAAACUGUAAUCGCUAGAAAGAAAAUAAUCACCUCUAGUAUUUAGUAACACAUAUAAGAGAUAAAGUUCAGUCGGUUUUGUCAUUUUAACGGAACAACUGGUGAGCAUGCCCCGAGCUAUCAUAUACCUGAAAAUGAAGCAACCAAUGGACCUGCAGAAACCAACACAUCUGAGAAGAAGUAGCAGUCCAUUGCAUGGAAGAAGUGAACUAACAUCAUAUGUAAUUGCAGAUCUGAAAGAUGCAAAGUAGCCGAAAAAAUGGAUGUACAGAAGCUGAACCUGCUCCUGGGAUAGCCAUGAUGGCUACACUCACAGCAACCUGAACCUGGUGAGUGUGUGUGCUUUUAUCAACCUACAAAGUAAAACUGAAGAACCUCAGAACAAGAGAGAAACACAAAUCUUCAUAAGAAAAGCAACCUGAACCUGGUGGGUGGCUGUGCUUUUAUCAACCUGCAAAGAAAUCAUACCACAAAAAGUAUCCCUUGUGACUACAAGAAGGAUGAUGUAGCCACAACAUCCCUUCAGAUUGUCUAUCUCUCUCAAAUUCCUCUCUCUUUUCUCAAAAAUUAGAUGCGGUCAAAAAUGCAAAGAGACAAAACAAAGCUCUUCAUGUUGCCUAUUUCUCUCAAAUCCCUCUCUUUUCCCCAAAAUUAGAAGCGGUCGAGAAGUAAAGAAAUUAACUUUUGUGCGGUAUUUAUAUAUACCCAUGGAAAAAAUUGUGGAAGAAAAUUAGAGGAACUUACAUGAUUUUUUCUUCUGCAUCUUUCAUGGCUGAAGCACCAUGGACAACCGAUUCGCCAGCACUACCGCCUGUUGUGGCUGCUCGCGUUCGCCAUUAUUGUGCCUGCUCCGACUGGUUCUCCCCUCAUCCCCGUUGGCUCGACCACCCAAAUAUAGGACGAGAUGAGGAGAGGUGGCGUAUCUAUCAUCCUGUGCCGGCGCCGGCGCUUGUGGCCGCCUCUAUCUCUCACGCUCCAGAUCGAAAUCUAGGAGGAAAAGAGGAGAGGUGGUGGCCCAGAUGCGUUGCGCCGAAAUCCAUGGGCCGAGGAGAUGCGACGGCCAGCAAGAGAGCGCGUCGGAGAAGGUGGAGAUGAGCGGCGGGGGAGGCCAUGGCGGCGGCGGCGGCGAGCGAGAGGGCGGAGAGGAGGAGGCGACAGGAAAGAGAAUCGGUGGCGUGGGAAAGAGAGGAGGGAGCGAAUGAGGACUGGAUGCUGCGUUGCUUUUCCUUUUACCGCUGCUCGCCUAGGGUUGUAUACUUCCCGUACCCGGAACAGGAUGAAACCCACUUUGUUUCUUUGACCCCACACAUAGCCAGCCCCACUCAUCAGCCACUCCUGAAGCAAUUAUUGACGUGAAAAUAAACCAACGGUUGACCUGGUGCCAGCAGCCAAAACAGAGAAACAGUAAAAAGAUCGUUCGGUCCCUGAGGCUUACCGCGCGCGGAUGCGGUAGAAGGGCGGGUAGUCUAGCGCUCUUUAUAUGUUAGAUAUCUAGCUUCCCCAUGUAGCAAGAUCGCGUCUAGUUGCUAGGGCAGAAUGCCAGAGUGUAGGAGAGCGAUACUGAUAGGCACUUUGGAUGCGCCAAUGGUCACAUAGCGUGUUCUGGCAGGGAAUGGGAUGCAUCAGAAAUUUAGAGUUGGAACUAGCAGAUGCCGAUCACAUGGCGGCUCUACGUUGCCAGUUGAGUUCGGCACAGAUUACUCCCCACUGUUGAGCCGUUGAUUUCAUCACUCAGGUAUCUAGCUGCUCAAGCUAAGCAUGGUCAGGUUUCCAACACGUGAAGUGCGAGAAAGUCUGCGCAUUCUCUCCAUGUCACUCGGUUAAAUGGAAUCAUGACUUUAGAGAGACAAGACAGGAUUAUUUGCAUCUAUUGAUCCUCACCUAUCAGCUUACAAGACACUCUGAACACUAUGGUACAAGCACCUAGUGUAGUGAGCGCAACUAGGCAGCAGGAGAGUAAAGCUCACAGUUUGUUUGCUUGGAUAAAAAAGGUUUUCUCCCUACCGAAACUCAAACCAUAAGAUUAAGGCCACAAAAGGCACUGGAUGCAAUGCAACAGCUUAGUUCGACCAUACUAGAUAUAUCUUAACCAAGAAUGACAAAAGAUCCAACUGUCUGAAAUUAACAGGUAGCCACUGACCAAUCAAAUGGAAAUGGAAAACAGAAAUGCUCUGGUACUCGAGCAAGCGAAUCGCCUUACCUGACAAACAUAGCAGGCUGCAUCAACACUGCCACCAAAAUGAACAAGUAAUUUUACUCCCACACAAACAUAUGCAAAUAUAUUCCACCAACAAUAUUAGUCGGUCCUCGCUAUCAACCACAUCUAAAACCAUGUCAACGAAUGGAAACAACACCACCUUAAAGUAUCCACACGAGAAGGCUCCUUUAUAUUUGUAUUAACAGAAGAGCAAAAAGAUAUAGCUGUAUGAUUUCAGCGAUCCAAAUCCGCACUACCCUGCCCAAUCGGCACACAUCCUGUCUCCUUCCACUCACUACCCUGGCUACAACUCUCUGGCUGCUGGUUUUCUUCAUCAGAACGCAGAGCUCAGGGCACCACGUGCUGCCUGUUGUUUCAACUCCUGGGAUUUUCCACUUCCACGGAAGUACAUGUACACUUGCUGCAUGUUGAGUCAGACAGGUCGAUGAUCAAGAGACAGGAAUAACAUGAGCUGCAAUGUAAGAUCUUCAAAAAAAAUAGAGGUAAACCACACCCACCUGAAUGACACCUAUGCUCAGCAGUGAUUCAAGGCAGAACAAUCCAAAUCCAACAAAGUAAAAUAUCUGCCAAAUGAAAAUUCCACAAAAAUAUAUGUCAGUAAGGGGUUAAAUAAGACUGGCAGACCCAGUAACCACUUCCAGAUGCAAUCUACCAAGUAAACCCCUGAUACUCAUGCGUGUGAGGUAUAGUGCACUAUGUCUGUUUCAAAAUGCAAGGAUUUUCUUGUCUAGCCAGUGGACUCUGCCGGCACUGAGGCAGCAUCAAGCAGCACAAUCUUUGGGGAAAACAUAGAACAUGGGCUGCGUAAGAGGAAGAUAUGGGCAUAUUGCUACAUAAACAAAUUAAGCAGCACAAUCAUUGGUUUAAAAUAUAGAGCAUGGGCUGGGUAAGACGUAGAUAUAGGCAAAUGGCUACAUAAACAAAUUAGUCCAGGCUAAUUGGAUAAACCUGUAAUGAAGACUUACCCCAACAAUAAGGCUCUUGGUUAUGACAUCAAUGGCAGGCAAAAUCCCACUACAGCAUCAAAAAGCAAAGUAAUUUAGUUAAUAAGAUCAAAAUAAAAGUUUUAAUGCGUUCUCAACAAAGAGUAAAUGUUAUGGUAGAAAGGUCUAAAUCUGAAUAUGAUAACAUGGAGGGUAAGAAUUUAUUCCAAGCAAAACUUACAAGUGACAUGAAUGACAAGAAACACAACAAUUUCAGUCUGCAUUAGCAAUUUACCAUGUACCUGGUAUAAAAUUUUACUCCUGUGUGUUAAGUUCCAGGAUAAAAAAUUAUGCUUCUUCCAUGAUCCUUUGCAGAGGUCAACAUUGACCACAACUCAGGCAAAAAGGCAAACAAUCGGUUCAGGAACAUGUUACUUGACAACUAGUAUAUAACAGCCGCUCAUGUAUAUAAUUUUUGGAUUUGCUCCCGUAUUUCUCACAUGCCACUUAUGUAUAGCCUUUAUAGCUGCAUGGAUGUGUUGACGCCAGUGUAAACUCCCCUGCUUGUAGUUAACCACGUUUGGUGUGUGCCUGUUUCUUUCCAUAUUUGAGUUCCACAUUAAAUCUAUAUAUCUAGUUCAUUGAUUAUCUUUGUUAAUUGUGUAUUCUAACUUCUAACAACAUCUUCAGACAAACCAUUCAAUGAAACAACUUACUUUUUGUGAAAAGGUCACAUAAUCUUUUACGGACAAAACAGAAACUAUGACCAUGGAAAUGCAUAACCCCUCACAUCUAUACCCGUUUACUGACUUACAGCCCGCACGGCAAACCAUGGUGCACAAGAAAAGAAUAUGAGACUUACGUCAAAGAAUUUCCUUUGAAAGGGAAUGGGGGAGACACAGCUGACCACACGCAGAAGAUUAUGUGAAUCUGGAAAUGGACAAAGAUGAUCAGUAGGGUGUGCAGUUGAGGAUAGGUUGAACCUUUCAUUUAAUGCUAAGAUGUGGCCGCAUGAAACCACUAGUAAAGUGUAUCUUACCAUGUAAAAUAGGAAAAACCACCCAAACUUCAAAGCACUCUCAGUUCUGCGACAGGCAUUAUAAUAAACAAGAUAUGGUCACAUGACAUAUUUGGAAAGGUGAAUUUCUUUCAUAUAGACAAUAAAUUCUCAAUGCAUAUACCCUACCUCAUCGCAUUAUAAAGAGGGCGAUACCAUAACACAUAAGCCCCAGGGACACCAGAAAUGAAGUAGAUAAUGGCAAGCAACCAAACCAUGACACCUGUUAAAGCAGAGAUUUGUAUUAGUUUCGCGAAGUUAAUAUAGUGAUAGCAACUGCUAUAUCAGAUGUGCACAAUAAGAUACACUUUAGCUAUACCUUCUCCCUUAAUCCAUGCAGUUGUGGUCGCUAUGAUAUUAAAGAAGAGGCAGAGAGCAAUUCCUGCAUGAGAUCCAAAUUUUACAAAAAUUACACAAAAUCCAUAAAAAAGCUAUAUAUCAAAUUGCUUCUCCACCAGAUUAGCUCUUGGUCCACUAAUCAAAUGAAGAUGGUAGAUCCCUUUGCAGGUAUUUGAGGAAUUCAAACUUAUUUGCUUCUCAUGUUCAUAAUCACAUCAUUCGUGCAAAAUAUGACAGGAAGUUGCAACAUAAAUACUUGUUAGUGAAUUUGUAUUAGGAUCUAAUAAAUGUCCAAAAUGAUAGUCGGCAUUGUUAGGAUAAUCCUUGUGUCCUGUAACCCCUCUCUCUUUGGUUACUUAAUAAUUAAGAAAGAUUAGAAGCUGUAAUAGCUAGCUGUAGACUCCAGGAUAAGCUAGCUAUGAGCUGUAUGAGCAGGUCGGCAGGGACUGGCUUCAUGAAGAAGGUGAUGGAAAUGGUUUUGUCUGCCUGUGUACUGUAGCGCCACCUUACUGUACUGCCGUCUUACUGUAGUGCCAGGAACACUAGCACCAGCCUAGAACUCCUAUAAAUAGGAGGGUACAUCUUGUGUAACACAAGCUUGUAGUGUAUCAACAAAGAAAAUGGCUUUUGCUGUGUGAGGCAGCAAGUCACCUAAACAGCUUGUGUACUUGUGCAAGUUGUGAGAAAUAACAGAUAGCGAUAGAGUGUGAGUGAGAGUGAGAGAGAGGAGGGUUUCAGUGCUGGUGAUGUGUGUGUGUGUGUGUGUGAUGUCAACAAAGCCUCAGUGCUAGUAGUAGUUCUGCGUGUGUGCUUGAAGCAUAUCUCAGGAAGAGGGGGAGUUGAGUGAUUCAAUUCCAACAGGCAUGCAGGCGCCACCAGGCUCCAGUGGCCACCUGUGCAGGUCCGGUCAGGCCGCGCAGAGAGACUGACACGUGUUACAAUUAUGUUGCCCGUUGCAGGGAAAUUGGAAAAUGUUAUCUGCAUCACUAGUGUUUCAGAUAAGCCGGAUUAGAUCUGGAAGAAGAGGAGGAUCAGUAUUACUGGCAGAUCGCCGCUGAAUAUGACCACUGGCUACUCACUGCUCAUGUGAUCUGGCUGUGGUCAUGCAAGAAGGAAAGGAGUGAGAGAAAGGAGUAGUAACUUGUUGUGGCUUUGGAGCGACGGGAAUCAAGAGGCAUUGUGUGUCUCUGUUUUUGUCAUGUUGCUGUUGGACUCCAGUUCAGGUUGCUGGGCUGAUCUUUACAAGUUACAAUGGCUCUUCUGACACUACUGUGGCUGAUCUGAUCUAUGGUGUGGACUUGUGGUGCUGUUAACUAUGCUGGUACUUUUAGUUGGUCGUUAGCCAUGCUUGUCCAGCUACUUGGCUUUGUUGAUCUGCCUGCUGUGGAGGCUUGGGGAUGGUACAACCGGAGGCAGCGAAACCGAGAGGACCAAGAGAAUGGAGAGGUGAUGGAGCCCAAGGCUUGGGACAUGUAAGUAGAGGAGGUAGGCACCCGGCUUUGGAGGUUUGAGGAAGAGGCGGUGGAGGCCAGGACUGCAUUGGUAUAGGUGGGAGACAUGAUCCUGUUGUUGGAGGUGCUUCACGUGAUAAUAGAGAACACCCUCCAGGCUUCUGCAUCAUAUGAAGCACACAGUUUGAUAUGGCGAUCCAGUAUUCGUAAGUCCUUGAUACGCCAGCAGAAACUCAAUCAUGGUGGGUAUGGUGGCUGGUACUGGUGGUGCGGUCAAGGCAUGGAGGCAAAUCUCAGCAAAGGCAGAGGUCUCUUCGAGAGUAUUAGAAAAUAAAAGAUGGCCAAGGUUGUUAUUUUAUGUCAAUCUUGUGAGGAAGUGUUGGGAGAAUUAAGGUAUGUUUAGACUGCCCAAACUGCACCAUACCAAAUUUCUGGUCAUGACCAAAAGAUUGGUCUUUGUUUGGAUGGUGGGAAAACUUUUGGGCAUGCCGAUGCCCCCAAUGUUCUUGCCAAUAUUGGCCAACUCAUGGGCAAGCAAAAAACUUGACCAAAAUUUUGGCUAGACAGAUUAUUGGCAGGCAAACGUGGGCCACAACCCAACAGAACCUUUGUACUAGAGAACCCAGGUUUGCAAUCUAUUGAGAGACCAUAUUAGAUUCUGGAUGUAAACUUGUAAUCCUUACAAUAAAGGGAUUGGAGGUUCCGUGGAACACCACGUAAUUAUUUCCCAAAAUAUUCAAAAGUACUCCAGCAAAAGAAAAGGUAAUGGCAGCACAACAUAUUCAUAUCAAACACCAAAGUUUUCACAUUACCAGAGCUUACCCAAAAAUGAUGAAAAUGCAAGGUACUGCAUUUUUUGUAGAUGGAUGGGUAUCUCAUUUGAAAUAUUGUGAUGAAUGAGAGGGAAAAAGGGUGGCCAGUUUUUGUCUUCUAUGACAAUGCCAGCUGAAAAUGAAACAAAGAAGUGAUUAGGAGAAGUAUAAUUGUGCAAACAUACUGCUAGGGAAAUCAUACAAAGUACAAAACUAAAUUUGCUCUUGCCAGAAGAAAUGACAAUUGUUUAUUUUCGGACAUCCCAAAAUUGGAGCCUUGAAAUGACCAAUUCUAAAUUAUCAAUCUAAGAAAAGGAUCAUUGUCAGCAAAUAUUACCAAUAACCAUGCAGGUUGCAGUGUGACAUACUGAUAACCCUGAUGUCCCAUCCCAUGUCCUAAACUCUAAAUGUCUAUGAUGCCCUUUUAUGAACAAUUCCGAAACACUGUGAACUCCUCUCAAAAUGAGUGGGCAGGCUACAGUUUCUUGGUACACACUUCCAGGUGCACAAAUUGCUUUCAUCAAGCAUGGUUCUGUCUUCAAUUUUUUAUGCCAGAGACGUGAACAAAACAAAACUAUUAAAGCUAUUCAGCAAAAGGAAAGAAUGCGGGUUGUACCUCGCGACGCAGCCUCUUCCUUCCUUUUCAGUUCCUAGGGCAGAGAGACAAACAAAGAGGAAUCAGAUCAGCAGUUCGAGAAGGAACAUCUCAUAUGGUAAAUAAAACAUGUAUCCACAUACAUGGAAUACACUACAAAGAGACAAUCUUUCUGUGAUUUAAAAUACUAUGACAUCUCACUGUCAAAAUUCAACAUAUUAAAUAAUAAGCUCAAGAAACAUGAUCCUCCCAGAUGAACCACCGUUUUGACUGGGAAACAAAAUUGUAUAGACCAUUCAUCACUGGAUAUACGACGCCAUAAGCCCAUAACCAACCAAAUUUAGCAAGAAGUUGAGAUAUAGAUUCCCCUAUCUAGAUAACAAGACCAAGGGACAAAACCACGUCGAAAUGAAAUGGUUCUUGCACCUGUUCUUGGGUUCUUGGGACAAAUGGUAAUCAGAAAGAAAGAAAAAAACAAAUGAUUGUUACACAUGUUUGCAAUUUUUCAUCAAUCUAAGAUAAAUUUGUGCUGAGAUAGAGUGCCGCAUUGUUUUCCUCACAGCACAAAUUUAUCUUACAUUGAUGAGAAAUCAGAAAAAAAAAUGCAGUGCUAAAAUUAUUUUUCCCAUUAAAAUUCACAUGCCUGUUUGAACUACUAGCAAAAGCACACUUUAUUUUCCAGCAGAGCCACUAUAUGCUGCAAGAUGAUGCAUGUUUCUGCCCCUAUUACUCGGCCUCAAAUUGCAUCACUACCAAACAGAUAGUUCUGGUAGCCAUUUGACCUCCUACUCUUAAGUCAAUGCACACUACCUGUUCAGUAAUUCCAAUGCUCUGGUGGCAAUUACAGUGAACUGCUUAACUAGUAUUUGGUAGGUUGAGGACACGCAGAUUCUGUAGACUCAUGCCAGCACACCAUAAAAAAAUUACCAUAUUGUCAUUUCCUAUUACUACUUCACUAUAGGGAUUUUAGGGCUAGGAUAGCUACUAUAUGCAGCACUAAUGAUCUGAAAAUCCCAAAUCAACAUAAAUAAGGUUUUAUUGACUCACUGGUUGUAACACUAAAUAAAGCAAUGCCCCAGUUAUCAUAUCCAAAUCACAAAUCACAGCGACGUUGUAGAUUCUGGAUUUACAUCUGAUGUGACACCACUUGUGAGAAAGCUGGUAGCAUAUCAAUAUUUCUGUAACUGGCUAAGAGCAGCAGAACAGUCCAAUCACUCAGGAAUUGUAACACGCAUACCUUUUCUCUUUUGUUUAGCUCGGCUUCCAUCGCUUGGAGCUCUUUUUCCUUUUUCUUCACAUCCUAAAUGAGAUAAUAACAUGCAUGAUAUAAAUAUAUAAACAAACUACAGAAGGGAUAACCAAUACAAACAUUUUUUAUUGACUUAAUCAAAACUAACUUUACACAUGAACAGUAUAAAUAAAGGAAUAAUUGUCACGUUUUGUAUACAGUUUUACCCCAUUCAGUCAAUUUUAUAAGGCAAACUUUGAGCUGGCACAUGGAUCUCUUACGAUUGAGAAAGUGACCAAACAGAAUUACUACAGUACCCUUCCAUUAACUGUUUUCAAAAUAUGCGAGAGAAUAUUUUACGUGGUUGGUCAUGCGUAUAUUCUUAAAAAGAUAAUGAAACAAAUAAUGGCAAAAAUACAAAAAAAAAUAUGCUAGGAUGUCUCAUAAUUUUCACCAAAAUUGGAAAACAGACCAUCGGACUUAUAAAAAUUCUCACAAGUACUUGAUGAUACAUAAGGAAUAGAUAAAUGGCAAUGACGAAGAGAACAUCUAUCCAAUUCCAAUUAGAGUAAGAAGCUAGCUGACACAAUUUUCUUGAGUGAAGAAAAACUUCUCAAAACUAAACCUACCUUAGUUGAAUCCAUAGGAAUGUCCACAUUAUAAAAACCCGCAGGCUCGUGGGAGAGAGGUGAGAGUCGGGAAUUGGAGGCUGGGGGGACACUCCCUCCCUGUAGAAAAUGAAGCAUUUGGAAGAUAUUAGGAACGGGCAGCUCCAAAAAUAGAAGUCUCUGAGCAACUUAAUAAUAGCAUAAUAUUUCCUUUGCCAACAACUAGCCUUCUGUUCAACAUCAAUAUUUUAAGUACUUCUAUGUAAUGAAUAUGUAUGGAAUAUCAACAUAACAUAACAUACAAUGGAAAUCAGAUGAAAGAUCUAACAAUACAAAAAUACCCAAAAGAAAUGACGGGUGGUGGGUGCAAGAAUUGCUGCAUCCUGCAUGCAUGCGCAGUUACUUGAUUAUUAGAACUUGACACAGGUUUCGGAUUUAGAUAACCAGUAAUCAGUAAAUAUGCACGAGAAAAAACAAAAAUAUUUUGGCAUGUUACUGAGAAUGGCCUGCCAAUGCAUACUUUCGCAGGCAGUGCAUAGGCACAUUAAGUUUUCAAGGGCAUGUGCAUAGACACAUAGUUUUUAAUGUGAUCGCAGCGGGGUGUGUUUAAGUAGAUUACACUCAAACGUUGCCUUGUUCUACAUCAGUUCAAUGACAUCAUCAAUGAAUAAUCCUAUCUGACGGUACAAAAGAGCUUGCGACAUGUAGUCCUUCAACUUUGGCUCCCACAUAGAGCCUAGAAUGUAGAAAUCUCAAACCUAAGAUUUUUAUCCAUGACCUAUCCAUACAUUUUUGUCUUACGAACAUACCUAUCUAUCCAUACAUUGGAUAUCACAUUAACCAUGUUCCGACAUAUGUAGCUUGUAGCACAUUGGAAAAUUUCUAGAAACCACUUGAAUGACUGAGCACAAAAACAGUGGGUCUGAAAUUAGUGACGUCUCAAUAUGAACCCAAGGGCAGCAAGUGGCUCAUCCUCUACCUGACAAACACUACCAUCAUUCCACCAUACGUAAUGUCCAAGUCCCUGAUGUUGAACAUAGCACAAUAUGGUGGUAACCAAGCUCCAGCAACCUCACGCCAGUACUCAUUAACUAAUGAACAAGAAACCAAGUCAUAUAAGAGGGUGUCACAGAUAUCAAAGCCACCACAUUGCUUUAAUCUGCUGCGACACCAAAUCCCAACCAAACUACAUUGUAGCUCAUGCUGGCUUCAAAUCACCUAGCACAGGCCACUAAUCACCCACCGCGCAGCCUUAGUUCACCACGCGAGCACAGAUCCAGAGCUAACCUACCGCUUCCAGAGCAAUAAUCAGCCGACACAGCCGACAGAGCGUAAUCGCCAACCCGAAGCGCACAAAUCCGCAUCUCCCAAAUCGCGUCCCCGUCCCACGCUAGGGGCCUCAGAUCCGGGAAAUGCCGGUCCCGAAUACGAACACGGCCGACGCGGAAAAAAAGGAGAACCGAGAUCUAUGCUUGCGCUCGCGCCGACGGGAAGGAGAGCGAGCACUCACGGCGAAGGGGUUGACGUCGUCAUCCUCGAAGCCGUUGCGGCCCGCCAUGGGUCUCCGGGCGCCUUCUCCGACGGGCGGCGGCGAUGGGCGGCGUGGUGGUGGCGACCGACCAAGUGCGUGCGGCGUGCCUCCCUCUCCCCUCUCUCUCUCUCUCUCUCUCUAGUCGCGUUGCUUUCUAGUCUAGUCCAGUACACGGGGAAAGGGAGACGCGGUGGCUGCGCGCGAGGUGGUCGCUGGCGGGUGGGGCCCGGCGAGGCUGACAGGCGGGGCCCCGGAAUGCGAGACGCCAACCUGGCCGCUCGGUGCGGGGCUGUGCUGGUGCGGUGCGGUGUGGCGUCCCUUUCGGCCCGCGAGCCAACUGAGAUCUCGGGCUACCUUCUGCCUGCCCCUACGCUUUUUUUUUAACACAGUCUGCCCCUACGCUAUUGGGUUCUUCACAAGUUCAAGUUUUUUAACACAACCUGCCCCUACGCUAUUGGGUUCUUCACAAGUUCAAGUUUUCAUCAAGUUGUAUUCUGUUGCGUUUCGAAUGCAAAUAGAGUAGAUAUUCGGAUGUCAAAUAUGCUACUCCCUCCGUCCCAAAACAAGUGCCUUAACCUUAAUAUAACUUUAUACUAAAGAAAAUAAGUGUAUUAACCUUAGUGCAGUAUUUUGAUACGGAUGGAGUAUUAAUAGGGACUACUCCCUCUGUUUUCUAAAUAUAAGCUCUUUUAGAUAUUUCAAUACGGACUACAUGCGAAUGUAUAUAGACAUGUUUUAGAGUGUAGAUUCACUCAUUUUGCUCCGUAUGUAGUUCAUAUUGUAAUCUCUAAAAUAUCUUAUAUUUAGAAACGGAGGGAGUAUAUGGGUGUGUUUGGUUUUAGCUUAGGUAAAAAAAAUUAUCAAAGAUUUUGCUAGACCAUUAUUUGACCAAUAUUGGCAAAAAAAAGAACUAGAGUGGACAAAGGAGCAUUUCCAUGCCAGAAUUUUGUUUAUUUUUUGCGCAUAACAUGCGAGAAAAUUGGUCAUGUUUCAAACAAGAACCAAAUUUUUGGUCAUGACCAAAAUAUUUGAAGGUGGCUCUUGGUUAGAACCCAAACAGAUGCAAACGUAUAUCCUUUUAUUGCUUACUAUAUUCGGAUCUCAAAACGAGUACGCGAUAGACUCAAACCGUGCGUGCAGGGGAGGAGUGAUGGUUGCCUUUUGUAACGCUCUUCAUGAUUUCAUGAAAGAUUUCUAAACACCAUUAUAGGUGCACAUGCUUGGGCCGUACCCGCAAGAUGGUCACUGCUUAUUCUGAUCAUGAUUCUCCAACACACUACAUAUGCUAUCUUGCUCUGGUGAGCAAUCGCUCAUCUCAAGCAAGACUCGAGUGUCUAGCCAUAGUCGAGUCACAACUUGUAUCCAUUGUGAUAAGCAAGUUUGUCCAAUACAAUGACUUGACAAACCCUCUUAGCCUCACGAGUAAUAUCCUGGAUGGAUGAAGGUUACAAGAGGGUGAGCCUUCUCUUUCUCGUAGUACCGUGUGAGAGACAACAAUUCCAUCUAUUUGAACAAGGUGUUUGGUGCAACAAUUUCGUCUAUUUAUUUAUUUUUAAUUUUCAAAGAGAUGCUUAAAGGGCAUCUUAUAUCUGAUAGUUAUUAAAAGGAAACAACAGCCGUAACACUGGAAAGACAAUUGGACGCGGACCGACCAAUACAAUAUAAAGUUACAUUGCAAAAUACACUAGUCUCCUCCUUUCUUCCAUUGUACGCCGCCUACCGAAGAUUAAAAAUUGCACUGAAAGUAAAGAAGGGGGACAUCUACAAACGUCUUUGCCAUAUCAGGCUUUAAAAAUUGCAAUAACUACUCACCCCUUGAGGCGAGAUCUAGAAAUCGCUAAAGAAGCAUUGGUCCGAGCAUCACCCCACGCAAAAACAGGCUCACAAUCCAUCACCACCGGUACCCGAGUGUUGGGGAAAUCGGACCAUGCUGCAGAACAACACAGAAGAAGAUGUCAAAGUCGUCGCACCAAUGGCCAGCCAAUUGCUCUAUCUCCUUGGAGAAUACACGAACUUCAAAGAUAUGAGGAGAGCCAACAAAUCUGGAGACACAAAUUCUCACAAGCCCUUCCGGAUCAGACGUCGUCGAGAUAGGGAGAAGUCGGAGAGACCUUAUUCCAACACGCGCAUUGUCGUCGCCACCUCGUUGAUGUCGUCGGGGAAACAAAACCUAAGGAGAAAAGGGGAACGAACGAAAGGGUCCCCACUGCUCUUGUUGUCGAUGAGGCCACCGGUCGAAGGGGUGGAAGGGGCCUAUGCGGAGGCGCAUGGAAGAAAUUUCAUCGAGGGCAGUGGCUAGGGUUCAGAGAUGCUGUGAAGUUUAUAAUCUAUUUGAAAGGGUGAUUUGGUGAAGCAAAUUCUACCCAAGCAACCAUGCUUGAUUUUUCAAAGUUAUGUUAAAUGAAGGAGAUGAGAAGUGAUAAUGUUGAAGCCACAAGCAAUAAAGAGUGCAGGGUGCGCAUAAUACACUGUAAUAUAUCGGGAGAAGUGUAAUUCUGAGUUGUGAUUUUUGUGUACUUUUUUUUCGCGGGUGGGUGAUUUUUGUGUACACAAAAAAGCUAUCCGUGAUUAUUUUUUUGCGAAAAAACUUCCAAUCUAUUCAUCUUCAAUCAUGACAGUACAACGAACACCAGAAAUAAAAUUACAUCUAGAUUUGUAAACCACCUAGCAACGACUACAAGCACCGAAGCGAGCCGAAGGCGCGCCGCCGUCAUCGUCCCUCCAUCGCCAGAGUCGGGCACAACUUAUUGUAGUAGACAGUCGGGAAGUCGUCGUGCUAAGGUCCCAUAAGACUAGCACCCCAGAACAGCAACCGUCGGCGGUGAUCGGAAGGAUCCAAACCGAAGACACACGAACGUAGACGAGCAACGACAAGAUCCGAGCAAAUCCACCAAAGAUAGAUCUGCCGGAGACACACCUCCACACGCCCACCAACGAUGCUAGACGCACCGCCGGAACAGGGGCUAGACGGGGAGACCUUUAUUCCAUCUUCAGGAAGCCGCCGCCGUCUCACCUUCUUGAGUAGGACACAAACCCUAGCAAGAUUGAAAAAAAAACUAAAAACGAAGCCCUCCCGCCAGCCCUUGCCAGGAUCCACCACGCCUCCAUGGCCCUAGGGCCGUCGGAGACGAGGCGGACCUGCGCCGGCGCCUACGAGAGGCACGAACCCUAACUUUCUUUCUUGGAGGAGGAGGAGGAGCCCUGGCUCUAACUUCCUCCUCUUCCUUAGGAUUUUGAGCCACCUCUCAGCUACCCGUAAUUUUUGUGUACACAAUGAGUUAAGGUAGCUCAAAUACUCUAGAUAAAUAUGUAAUACUCCAUUCUAUGGAACUUGAUAAUAAAUGUGAAAAACACGAUCUGUUCCAAAAAUCGAGAGAUUUAAGUCCCAAAAUGCUCAUGUUGUCGCAUCACGGCUACCCAUAGGCCAUAACAUUACCAUAUUCAUGGCUUUAGUUUAUAUUAUAUUUUGUAAAUCCAGGGUGCUGAACUCACUAUAAGUUAAGAUAUUUUUCUUUUCUUUUUGCGAGAAACUUCCGAUCUAUUCAACUUUAAUCAUGGUAGUCAUAAAAAAUAAUUAAAAUUACAUCCAAAUCCAUAGACCACAUAUCGGCUACAAGCACUGAAGUGAGCGGAAAGCACGACGCUGNNNNNNNNNNNNNNNNNNNNNNNNNNNNNNNNNNNNNNNNNNNNNNNNNNNNNNNNNNNNNNNNNNNNNNNNNNNNNNNNNNNNNNNNNNNNNNNNNNNNNNNNNNNNNNNNNNNNNNNNNNNNNNNNNNNNNNNNNNNNNNNNNNNNNNNNNNNNNNNNNNNNNNNNNNNNNNNNNNNNNNNNNNNNNNNNNNNNNNNNNNNNNNNNNNNNNNNNNNNNNNNNNNNNNNNNNNNNNNNNNNNNNNNNNNNNNNNNNNNNNNNNNNNNNNNNNNNNNNNNNNNNNNNNNNNNNNNNNNNNNNNNNNNNNNNNNNNNNNNNNNNNNNNNNNNNNNNNNNNNNNNNNNNNNNNNNNNNNNNCUUGUUACGUAGAUAGUUGGGAAGUCGUUGUGCUAAAGCCCUAUAGGACCAUCGCACCAGAACAACAAUCGCCGCUGAUGAAAGAAACGUAGAUCAGAAGAAUCCAACCUAAAGACACACACGAAUGUAGAUGAAAUAAGACCAGAUCCAAGCAGAUCCACCAAAGACAACCACCGAUUGAAUCAUGCGAGAUCCAUCGAAGACACACCUCCACACGCCCUCUAACGAUGCUAGACACACCAUUUGGAUGGGGUCUAGACAAGGAAAACCUUAUUUCAUCUGUAGGGAGCCGCCGCCGUCUCGCCUUUCCAAGCAGGAUACAAAACCCUAACAACAAAAAUACAUAAAUUUGGAUGUAAUAUUGAAUUUCGUUCUUAUAUUCUGGAUGUAUUGUUAAAUUUGGACAUCCAAACCCAGCAGGGUACCACUUGAACUUGCCCCCAAAUAUGUCGGAUGCUUCACAUGAAACACAAGUGAAAAAGUUUACUCCCACCCACGUUGAUUAAAUUUAUGAUCAAACUUAAAUCUCGAAAAGCUCGGGCGCACUAAAUUAUGGAAUGAAGCGAGUAUGUUUGAAUGGUUCCAUACCAGAAGAUCGUUCGGUUGGACCAACAUCAUAAAAUCCAUCCGACUAACUUACACCAUGGCUUCCAUCUGACCAAGUCAAUUGUGGGCAAUAAAAGCAAACGUUCCUAACAACGCCAUCGAGAUAGCUUCAUUGCAUUGUACUCUCUCUGUAAACAAAUAUAAAAAUGUUUAGAUCACUGCUUUAGUGAUCUAAACGCUCUUAUAUUUGUUUACGGAGGGAGUACUGUAGUAAAAUCUCAUGGUAACUAUCAUUAUCGUGGUAGCACUAAUACAACGUGGCUCCCACAGCCGUUUGUACCCUUUCGUUGUCGUCGGCUUGGGCCUGUUUGGAUUGUGAUUAUCUUCAUAACAUAUUGCCACCUUAUUUUGCCACAAUGGCCUUACUUGAGGUGCUCAAAUUCUUCGCCACACUUUGGAUUUUCAUAAGGAAUCUUGCCACAUUUUAUAUAUGUAUCUAUGACAUGUGGGGCUUACUACUCAUAAAAAGAUUUUAGUGUUAGUUGUCGGCAAAUUUUCGUGUUUUGACCCUUUUCUGAAACCUAUUCGAGAUUUAACCCUAGUUUGAAUUUUUUUUAAGAUCUGACCCUUUUGCUACCGCCAGAGUCCAUGGUGGUAGGGUCUAACAGCCUACCGCCAGAGACUUUGGCGGUAGGAAACAUUGCUACCGCCAAUCGGGCAGGCGGUAGCCUGCACAACCCUACCGUCAAGGUGCUUGGCGGUAGGCACGAGCACGCACUGUGUUCAAUACUUAGGAGUUUUUUGGCGGUAGGGAAUGCAACCCUAUCACCAGGGACCUUGACGGUAGGCUGUUAUACCCUACCGCCAUGGUCCCUGACGGUAGCAAAAGGGUCAGAUUUUAAAAAAAAAUCAAACUAGGGUCAAAUCUCGAAUAGGUUUCAGAAAAGGGUCAAAACAUGAAAUUUAGCCUUAGUUGUCACUAGAACUAAACACGCAUCUAACUUGAUCAAAUUUUCCUAAGUUUAGGCGUGAUAAAGUGUGGCAAGUUGUGGCAUGAGACGAAACACCCCAGAAUGUAGACAUGUCUUCGGCGAUAGACAAAUGAGUACACAAGUGUUGGACAAAUAAGUGCUAGAGACAACAUUGUAUAUGGUUCAUACGAGAUCGAACACAUGUAGGAGGAACAGUGUUACCCCUAGAAUAAGGGAGUCCGAACCUCGGUAAAAUCCUGUCUCGUGUGAAAUAUCGUUCCUGUAUCAUCAACGUGCGUGUUGCCCCGUCAAAACUCCUCAAAUCAUGUGUACUGCCGCAAAAUCCUUGCAACAAAAUGCAAAUCUUCAUUUCCAUUUUGUUUGAAAAUAUUUGACUCGAAAAGGACCUAAGGACCCUGCAGACACAGCCAUGUUACAAUGUGCACAUUGUAAACAUUGUAACAUGGCAAAACUUGGUCGUGCAAAGAAAAAAGGACAGGUCGUGAACGCCACUUUCCACUGAGCAAGAACAUGGCCCCUGAUCAGUAUUUUAAGCUCAACUAUCAGAUAAAAACACAGCUUAAUUGGAGCUCACAGUGGCUGAGCCCUUUUGAGUCCCGGUCUCCCACCACACUACCACAGGUCCACAGCCAAGGCCUCCUCGGCUGUCGGCUCGCACAAAUCAAAGCACGACGGAGGGAAACCCAAAGCCACUCUCACUGUCCUCUCCGCUCGCUCUCCCACUCCCCCCUGUCUGUCCCUCCUCAUGCUCACCACCUUCAGACCAGCCAUGGCCGCCUAGCUGGCUAAGCUAAGCUCUGCUAGUACAAGCCUAGGUAGAAGCGAGGAGGACGGUGCAGGCAUGGGCUGCUGCGUCAGCAAGAAGCGCGGCGAGCCGCCGGGCGCGGCCGAUGGGGGGAAGGCCGUCGAGGCCCGCGACCUGCCGCCGCCCGAGGAGGAGAAGGUCAAGGAGGUGCUCUCCGAGACGCCGCGCGUCAAGCCGCCGCCCAGGCCCAGGCGUGUCGCCGGUGGCGCUGUGGUGGCGCCGUCGGCGGAGAAGGCCAGGGCCAAGGACGGCGGCACCGCCAGGGCGAAGGACGGCCGUGGUGUCGGCGGCAGGGUCGGCAGGCCCGCGCGCUCCGUCGAGGAGAAGUCGGAGGCCGCGUCCGAGUCGUCGGCCGCGACCACGGUGGCCGGGCCCGAGCGGUCCCCGUCGUCGAAGCCGCCCAGGUGCCGGCAGGGAAGGCCCGCGCCCGGUGGCGAGCCCAGGCGCGCCAGGCGGGACCGGGACCACGGCGCGGCCACACCCGGCGGGCGCGGCCGCGCGUCCCCCUCGCCCCCGCCUCCCCGACGCGACCCCGGGCGCAGGUCGCCGUCGCCCGCGGCGAAGCGGGCGCAGGACCAGCGCCGCGACGCUGCCGGCUCGGCCUCCUGCGCGCAGCGGAAGCCGCCCGUGCCCGCCAGGCCGACGCCUCCGCGUGCGCAGGAGGCGCCGGCAAAGCCACAUCUACACGGCCCUCCUACGCAGUGUGCGUCGCCACCGACGCCACAGGCGCCGGAGCAGGAGGAUACGAGUACUCCCCAAGGCAGCGACGGCGACGCCGCGGCGGGUGACGGCGAGGGCGAGGGGAAGGAGUCCCUGGAGAACCCCCUGGUGUCCAUGGAGUGCUUCAUCUUCCUGUAACACUGCACUAGCCCUUCAGUAAGUAAUCAGUGUACUCCAUUGUCACAGUUAGGAGUAACCAGAUUUAGAAGCCGUUCUGUUACGGUGAACGUAAUUCCGCUGGCAACUUCUUCCCGGGUUGGAAUUUUGUAUCCCGGGGAAGAAACUAGCCCCAGCUCUUUGGCGUACCUUGUCUGAUGUCCCUUGUAAUCUGUAGAUUUGUGGAGGACUGUAGCUAAUCCAAGCUAAGCUAGCCAGGGUGUCUCUGUAACGAACUGCAUUUUUUUGUUGUUGCUCUUUUUCCUUCCUGGUACUACAUUGAUUGCACUCCGAUCUUUCUUGUGCAAAGCUGGAGUUGCCACUUAUGUUGAUCCGAUCCGAUCCGAUCCAUGGAUGGACCAUGGCCGUUUCUUCCUCCUCGUUGCAUGGCAUGGUCCAUCACGAUGGGUUCGCCGGGGCAUUCAAUGGCUCCUCAUCCGCAUUCGCCCAGUUCAAUAACUCGGCUCAACCGCUCUGCAUUGCACGCCCAAGGCACGUCCGGCGUACUACUAACGUCAACGGGCCGAUCCGUGCCUGCGUAUUCAAUGCCCGUGGUGAACUGCUGAUCGGCGAGCACCGGCUGCUAUGCACACGAGCAACGUCUAAUCGAACAAAUGCGCCGAGCUGUAGGGACUCAUGGGAGGAGACCGUGUAGACAGCGGCGUGUGUGGGGGCGUGGCCGUGGCCGGGGCCGCCCGCCACCUUUUUCGCGCCACUCCCCCUCCCACUGGCCACUGUAGGGUAGCGUCCAGCAACGUCGGGGUGCGUGCCCACUGCAUGCCCACCAUCGCACCAGCGGCGCCCGCCGCCUGUCGGCCGCUCGCCGUUGUCGCCACCCCGGUGCCCGCGUCCCCCGCCCCCGAUUAUUUUAGCAGAGCACGGCGGGGCGCACGCCGCUGCCAACCACGGUGCGACGGUGUACUGGAGCACAUGUACUGUAGAAUACUGGUAUACUAGGACUGUGCUGCCUGGCCUUUGCGCUGGAACGUCUCUCCUUGUGCAGUGUACCUGUACGGGGAGAUCGCGGCGGAUCUGGUGCUGCCGUGCUGGUGGCCGGGAAGGGUGGGGGCGUGCGCGGCGAGCCCGAUGCGUUCGUGCGUGGCCGGCGUGCUUGCUGCGGCGCUUUCUGCCGCCACCGAGGCAGGGCCGGCUUUUGCGCCUUUGCAGCAGGGAGGCCGCAGCCGAGGUGGCCCGACCCCCGCACGUAGUCGGGUGAAAAGGGCGACGCUCGCAUUAUGCCGACAUGCACGCAGCGGCAGUGGCAGUGGCAUGGUAAAAAGGGCGACGCCCGCACGCCGACAUGCACGGUGAGCUCGCCGGGCCCGGCCCUUUCGCCCGCGUCGCAGCUUUCGAGCGCACUGCUCGCUGCUCGGAUACAGCGGGCCAAGCGGCAACUGUCAUGCUCUACCCGUCAUCUGUCCGACUGUCCCGACGGAGCCGAGGAAGUGGGCUCUGACAAAUCGCACGAAAAAGGAAGGAAAGAACCGAGCAGGCAGGCUGGUGUUUGAUGAAGCCCACCAACAAAGAGAUCUAGAGCAGAAAAGGCCCAAACGUCAACAACCUGAUUCCACUUCCCAGUGUGCCUUGCCUCAAAAAAAAAAAAACUUCCCAGUGUGCCUGUUCUAAAAAAAAAUUCUUUCCAGUGUGCCGAACAAUACCAAAAGCACCGCUGCCUUGGACAAAUUUAUUAUCAAGUGGUAUUUCUUCUUUUUGCAAGGAAUUUAUUCUCAGGCUAAACAGGGCGGCCAACGGAGUAAUCCAUACAAGUACACACAAAAAAAAAAACCUCAACACAAACACAAAGGAGCAACUUCUUCAGACCCGGAUCUUCCUUCAUCGUCCGCCUGUCAACGGAAUUGACAGGUUUCCUCCUCCUCUCCUAGCUUUUAUAUAAAAAUAAUCCGUAGAGUACUUGGUCGCCACCAGAUUCUCACCCCAGCAAAAAAUGGUGCUGGGACGUGUCCAGCAAAUACAGCUCUCA
This 79509-nucleotide long non-coding RNA is filed under the name Triticum aestivum (bread wheat). RNAcentral describes it as "long non-coding RNA (TAES_LNC024914)". The stretch from base 55422 to 55546 matches the Rfam family "MIR1120/MIR1122 microRNA precursor family". The record is from RNAcentral. Lineage: Eukaryota; Viridiplantae; Streptophyta; Magnoliopsida; Poales; Poaceae.